RNAcentral lists this long non-coding RNA (49260 nucleotides) under Nicotiana benthamiana. RNAcentral describes it as "long non-coding RNA (NBEN_LNC024589)". Lineage: Eukaryota; Viridiplantae; Streptophyta; Magnoliopsida; Solanales; Solanaceae. The record is from RNAcentral.
UUAAUAACAGGGACAUGGUUCUUAAACUAUUUAAAUGGCGUCAAGAAAGGAGGAGUUGAAGGCGCUUAAUUAUUUUUUUUUUCCGGUAAUACUGUAUGCGUACAAAGACAACGAACAAUGAAGUAUACUAUACACACUGUAUAAUCAACUGACUUUAUAAUAAUGAAAGUAUCUAUAGUACUCUGGUUGAGAAAUACUAUUGGUUUUUGUUGAAUAAUAUUAGAUGCUUUUAACAUGUAUAUUUAUUUCAGAAAAUGAGGUUGUCAUUGGAAAUAUAUUAGUUGGUCAUUGUAGUUGUCGACAAUGACCAUAAUAGGAUUUAUUAGAAAAAAAAUAGGAUUUCGUGGCGACAAAACUUUGCCAGAAAUACUAAUUGUAUUAGUGGCGGUCCCUGCUGCCGCCACAAUACUAAUCAGCGGCAAUAGUUGACUUGGACAAAAAAAACAAAGUGGCUCAGAUAAAUCUUCAUAUCAAUCAAUCGUAUAUUGAUUAAUACGUAAUCGAUCGAACACCACUUGUGGCGACUAGGUCGCUUUCUAAAAUGAGCGACCUAUCUUGUGGAUCUUUUUUUGUUAGCGUACUUUUUAAACUUUUUGUAACGGAUAAACUGGUAGCGACUCGAACAAGUCGUCAACAAAAAUUCACUUUCAGACGUACUUGCAGCAAUGCUAAGCGAUCUUCUGAGCUUUGUAGCGACUCUAGUUGUUCGACUCAAAAGAUACUAAAUACUUUAUUAGUGAAAACAAUCAAAGUGAAUCAAAGGUAAAUCACAAUCGAAGAUAAUGAGACCUAGAGAUAUGUAUUAUGCUUUUUAUUGCUUUUAAUAGAUUGGAUAUUCAAGAGAGAGAAAGAAAGAGAAAGAGAGAAUGAUUUUCUAGAGAUAGAGACAGUUUGAGGCUUGUUCAAUAAAUAAAAGAUGCCCCUUUACAACACCGGGAUCCCCCUUUAUAUAAUAGGAGGCCCUCCUUGAAAUAAUAAAAUAAUACAGAGAUUGUUCGCAUUCCUUCGAGAAGACAGCGAGACCAAUGAUACAGUUCGCUCCGACAUUCUUAGGUCGUGCCCUUACUUCGGUUAGGGUACAUUCAUUGUCCGUUCCUACCAACGUGGAGACGUAAUGGGUAAAAUUUGACCAUGUAUGGUUUUUCCCUCUGUUCAUCGGCGAUGUAUCGGGAUGCGUCCCUAAUGGAUGGAACCGUGAACCUUGUUCUGGGAGAAUUUGACCAUGUUUGAAGACGGCAGCGUGAAUGAGAAAGAACAUUUGAGAUUAUUGAAAUGUUGACGCACAAUCUCCUUUUCAGAGCGACGUCAUCACACGCAUGCGUCAUUAUUAUGCGUAUUCCCGAGGAAGUACAAAAGGUGCUCUGACGCUUAGUUUCUCGCGCCCGUUCGAACUCUGUCUCUUCGAUUUCAAUGCCACUCAACCCUAUAAAUAGGGAAAGGGUACUUGAUCCAACUUUCGACUAUUUGCACGCAUUUUCUGGCCUUCUAAGAAAACACUCCAUUUCUUCGAAACUCCAUUGUUUCUCAGAAAGACUGAACGUAAAUCAUGGCAAAACCCCGAUGGAAUAAUAAUCUGAAGGCUCGUGAUACUACGUCAUCCGAUGUGCUGCCUUCCUGUGCUUGUGAUGAUGGAGAAGGAGAAUAGGACCUCACCCCUCUUACUGUGGACAACGUGCUACCAAAGCACCUUCUUGUUAGGAAAGACUUCCAAAAAGACUCCCCCGCGCAACCUUCGGAGCAUUUCGAGUUAACUCAGGAUUACUUAGAUAGUCUUGCACGUCGUUCGGCAUAUCUGCUCAUGUGGAAAUAGUCCCAGCAGGAACGGAUUAUGCGGAUGUCGCAGACCGAGAUAUUGUACGUUUUAUAAAUAUCCAUUUUUAAUUGGUUAUGGUUUUCCUAUCUUUCCUUUGGUGGAGGAGCUUUGCCACUUUUACAACUUGUGCCCCGUCCCAACUUACUCCAUACACCUUAAAAGUAUGUAGGAUAAUGUCUACAUAUGCAGAGCUGGCUAGGUGUGAGGUCUCCGUCCACCACCUUUUGUAGUUAUUCAGCGCCAGUUAUUUAAGGGGUACCAUGCAGCAUUUGAAGAGCCAUGGUUCGAAAGGGCUGGUAGUCAAGACUGAUAACCGACCCAACCGUGGUUAUUAGCGUAGGUACUUCUUUAUUAAAAUGGAGCACCUGGUGUCUAACCCUACCGGGUUCCCAAAGAGGUGGAAUUCGAAAUGUAAGUGUUUCCAUUCGUCGAAUUCUUUAUCACACGUGAACUCGGUGGUUUUGGUCGUACCCUCCUUGUGAUUUUUCCUUUUAUUUUGCAGCAACGGCUCACCCACCCCGGUUCAUCACUGGUAUCAAGCAAUGGGUAGCCAGUUUGCUGCCUUACGCGGAAGAAACUCGUACAUGGUCCGCAUUUCUUCAACGCUACGGCCCCGUAGGCCCUUCAGGUAGUUCUUCAACUUUAGUCGGUUGUUUCCGCAAACUUUAUCAACUGAACUGUUUGUGUCGACAGGUCAAAACAUUCCCAAGAAGAGGGUGACGAUAUCUACCUCCGCUCGAUCGGAUAUUGGCUCGGAUGCUCAACAGAUACUUUGUGCAUCUGUCAGAGAGGGUAUUCCCGUAGUUCGUUUACAAAAGGUUGCGAUUGUGGAGGAGACUACGAAUGAAGCAACACCAUCGACAACAUCUCCACAUCCUGCGGAUGAGCCUUCCGAGGGCGAGGAGCCCGGGGAGAGAAAAAGGUGGAGGCUUGAGACGGGAAAGGCGGUGGCGACUGAGGAUGAAAGGAGUAACGUGCCUUGUCAAACGCCUAGACCUGUCUUCAUGGUCGACGCUAUUCCUUCGGGGAGGCCGGCCCAUCAGACAAGUGUUGCUGCCGAUGCCAACUCAGUUCGUGCUGCUGAGGGUGGCUCGACGUCCAUCAUUGGCGGGGAUGUUGAGGGAUCGGAUCUGAGAUCACCCAGGAAGAUAUGGACGGGCUGGUGGAAGGUCUCACGCAUGUGGAGAUGAUGGCGGACGGGUCCAACCGCCAAAUCGUAAUUUCGGGGGCUUAUUAUUUAUUAUAGCAUAGCGAGCAGGCGGCGUUGGAGAUGGCCUUAUUAUGUGCAGCCCCCAAGCGUGAAAUGCUAAGAGAUGUCAGGGAUGCGGAGCUAUCCCGAAAGGUCGCCGGCGUGACUUUAUAGGUAAACUUCUGUUCUUCCGCGUGUUGUAGAGUUGGCUUUGAUGUGUACUAACUCAUAUUAUCUCCUUAAACCCUUGUUUUGGAGGUGGAGAGGAGGCGUCACGAGCAGAAGAAGGCGGCUGUUUUCAAUAAAAUGGUGAAGAAAGUAUAAGAGGUGUCGCUCCAAGCAUCAGGCGGCGGUGGACCUUUUCCAACAGGACCCCUAAUUUCCGGUGUUCCGGGAAGGUCUUGAGCAUAAGGAGGUGCAAUUGAAGCGCAUGGUGGCCGAGCUGGAGAAGACUGAUGAGGAUUUAAUGAAGGUUGUGGCUCGUAAUAGUGAGCUGGAACCACUCCUCAAAUCGAGGGAAGAGGAGUUGGAGCUUAGUCGUGGGGUGGCAAAAGAGUUUGCCAAUUUACGCCGUAGGGUUGCGGCCUUGACUGCCAAACUCAAAGCCGAAGCGGCAGAGGUUGACGUUCUUAGGCGGACGGUCCCACCAAGGCCUGGAGACGUGGCUUAGCCUUCUUCUUCCCAGCUCUUGUCUAACGAGGAUGCGCGCCGUGAUGCACAUGAGAUGUGGGUUUAUACGAAGGCCAGACUGGACAUAUACAAGAAACUUCUUGUUGCAGGUCGUGCCACUAAGGAGGAGGUAUAGGAGCAGUGGCACUAGGCUGAGCCGCUCGGGCAGUCUGCGGGUAUAGUUCCAUCUCUCCUGACCGAGAGAACUAUGCUUCAAAGGAUGUUAACCGGCUAGAUUCCGACUUCUGGUACAAUGAAGCUUACCGCCUUGAUGGUGACGGACGAGAUGGUGAACAGACGGGACUUGUGCCCCGUCCCAANNNNNNNNNNNNNNNNNNNNNNNNNNNNNNNNNNNNNNNNNNNNGGGGGGGGGGGGGGGGGGGGGGGGGGAUGGGCAAGAUGGUGAGGCUCCUUAAAAUUUGUAUAUGUUUUGCUUUUUGUAGAAUAUUAUAGUUGCCAUUUUGCGGGACUGAAUGUGUAUACCUUUUUGUAAUGUAUGAAUCAUACUUUUGCUGUUAUUUUUUUUGUGUUGUGCUUUAUUUUUCAGAACUUCACCUCCGCAGAGUUGAUAUUCGUUUGUUUGUAGAAGAUUUGUCGCCUCUUUGGGUAACAUCGAAGUGGUACACGCGGUCUCAGGGGUGAUCCCCUAGGGAUCACCUCUGUCGUAGAUAAGUCAACGCCCGAUCUUAGUGAAUAAAUAAGACGAAAUUUUAACCGUUGUCUGAAUGUUGUUCGUCGUAAUCGAGCUUAACUGACGCUUAAUGGUGUGAACACCUAAUUUUUUACCACACCCAAAUUCUAUACUAUUUUAGUGUAAAUAUUUCUUUUAUAUUUAAACUUUCAUCAUUCUUAAUAGAUUUAUUUAAAAAUACAAAAAUACUCUCAUUCUUAGAGUACAAAAUUUAUUAAGAAUGAUGAAAGUUUAAAUAUAAAUUGUUUUUAGUGAUUGUUGAUGUCAUCCCUUUGCAAUUUUUAAGGGAUCUUUUGAUGAAGUCCCCAGUUACCAUAAUGGGCAUUUGUAAAGCGAAUACUUUGAUGACUAAGUUUUUCCUUAGUCUUUUAUAUGAAGAAGUUUUAUGGGUACUUCUUUAUAUUCUAUUCUUGCCUAUUUACUUAUUUAGGACUUAUAGAAUAGCUUAGCAUUUUUAUCCUUCGAAAAUACUUUUUGAUUCUUCUCAUGGAACAUCAACAUGAUGUUUAUAAAGAGGGCCCUUUUAUUUUAUAGACACUUAAUGAAGAAGACGUCUCAACUUCAUAAUGGUGUUUAUAAUGCGAUGAAAGAAAUAGGAAUGCACAUGUUUUGUAUGAAAUAACUUUAAUAAGUUUUUAUUCAUGAACUUUAACAAGUUGUUUUGACUAUUACAUGUAUUAAAAUACAUCUAUAGCUAUCUCGUAACUGUUUUUCUUGUAACAGAUUAUUACAUGUACUAAAAUACAUCUAUAACUUUAUCGUAACUGUUUUUCUUGUAACAGAUUUUUACAUGAUAUAAAAUAGACAAGGUUUUUCAUCACAACCUGUUUCAAUACAUAGUCAUAACCCUAUCUUUACAUAUUUAGGAAGGGUUUGAGAAGUGACUUUGUUUGUGAGUUUGGGAGACGACUCUGUUUUUUUCAUGAGAAAAAACAUUAUGAUGAAUGUUUUGCGCUGAAUGUUGAAGACUUCGUAACUUUCUCUCAACACUUGUCUUUUUGUAGUUAAAUCUUGCCAAACUUUGACCAACUUUUGUUCGAUAUUCGUAUCUUGUGAUAUAUGUAUCUGUUGUGAUAUUUGUAUCUAUUGUGAUAUUCGUAUCUGUUUUUCUGCAUGAAUCUGUGUAUAAUAUGUAGUCCCCCAAGUGUUUGAGCGGUAAAGUAUGAAGCCUCGAGCACUUGUUUGUUUAUUUCAAUUUGGUCCUUUUCCUGAAACAGAAAAUAUACAGGACUCAGAGGUAUGAUUAUAGAUAAAGACUGCCUAAUCCGUGUCUAUUUCCAUAAGAUUUAUGUAACCCUAGGCUCGGAAUUUAAGAGUAUUCCAUUUUAUCGUGCAGGUCGUGACUCAUUAUUUGCCACGAGUUAGGAUUUUUGCCUAGCAUCUAAAAUCAUUAGUAAAUUAUAACAAUUCAGAGAAAAAAUUUAACAUAGUGAUACCUGACCGUGGCUACUCCCUUAAAAGUAAUAUCUCUUUAGAUGGACAGCAUUCCAAUGCGAAGGUAAAACUUUACCCUCCACUGUCUCCAACUCGUAUGCUCCUUUCCCUGCAAUGUCACGGAUUUUGUAUGGUCCUUCCCACGUUGGACUUAGCUUUCCUGAAUUAGCAGCCUUCGUAGAUAGGAACACCUUUUUUAGCACAAAGUCCCCAAUUUUGAAGAAUUAGAGAUGUGUUUUCCUGUUAUAAUAUCGUUCAAUUAAUUGCUUUUGAGCUUCCAUACUUAUUAAUGCAGCUUCUCUUCUUCCUUCGAGCAAAUCAAGGUUCACCCGUAACUCUUCAUUGUUUGAGUCUUCCGUUGUUUGAAUGUACCGUACGCUUGGUUCCCCUAUUUCAACUGGUAUUAAGGCAUCGGCUCCAUAAACCAUUGAAAAUGGCGUUUCUCCUGUGCUUGUUUUCGUCGUUGUUCGGUACGCCCAUAAUACCGCAGGUAACACUUCAGGCCAAUUACCUUUUAAAUCUUGUAAUCUUUUCUUUAAAUUAUUGAUUAUGACCUUGUUAGUGGAUUCCGCUUGUCCAUUGCCAACCUGAUGGUAUGGUGUUGAUGUUAUCCUUUUAAACUGCCAACUUUGAAAGAAUUAUGUGAUUUAUGCUCCUAUGAAUUGUGGACCAUUAUCAUAUACGAUUUCCUUUGGUACCCCAAAGCGGCAUAUUAUAUUUCUCCAAAUAAAAUCUUUGACUUCUUUCUCUCGUACCUGUUUGAAUGCCCCUGCUUCUACCNNNNNNNNNNNNNNNNNNNNNNNNNNNNNNNNNNNNNNNNNNNNNNNNNNNNNNNNNNNNNNNNNNNNCCCUGCUUCUACCCAUUUAGUGAAAUAAUCAGUAAGUACAAGUAGAAACUUUACCUGACCUUUUGCUUGUGGUAAUGGACCUACAAUGUCCAUUCCCUAUUUCAUGAAGGGCCACGAAAAUAUAACAGGGUGUAAUAAUUUGGCCGGUCUAUGCAUAUUGUUACCGUAUCUUUGAUAUUUAUCACACUUAGAUACGAAAUCAUUUGCUUCCUCUUCCAUCUUAGGCCAAUAGUAUCCUGCUUGAGUCAAUGUUUUUACUAGUAACCUGCCUCCUACAUGAUUUCCACAAUGUCCCUCAUGUAUUUCUUUCUUACAUACUCUGUUUGGGAAGGUCCGAGACACCUUGCUAAUGGUCCACCAAACAUUUAUCAGUAAAUGUUUCCUUGAUAUAUACAAUAACGAGCAGCUUUCUUACGACGUGCAUGAGCCUUUGUUUUAUCAUCAGGAACGGUUCAAUGCUGCAAAAAAUCAACUAUUUCAUAUCUCCAAUCAUAUGUUAAAUGAUUAAAUUUACCUCAUUCUUUUCAGGUUCGAGCACGGAAUGAAAUAAAUGUAUGAUUGAAGCAUUUGCAUCAUUUGCUAUGUCUGCUGAUGCAUAUGCAAGAUUAGCUAAAGCAUCUGCCUCUGCGUUCUCCUCUCUUGGGAUUUGCAUUACCUUCCAUGUUUGGAACUGCUUUAUCAAUUCCCGUACAUUUUUUAGAUACUCUUGCAUUUGCGUUUCCCUGGAUAUAUCAGUCCCCAGCAUUUAAUUGACCACGAGUUGGGAAUCACUCUUGAUUAUGAUUUGUGUUAUGCCAAGUUCUCGUGCCAAUUCUAAACCUGCAAUUACUGCCUCAUAUUCUGCUUCAUUGUUAGUUACAGGGUGAUAUUUUAUAGUUUGUCUAAUGGUUUCACCCAUAUGUGGUAUAAGAACAAUUUCUAGACCCGCUCCUUUUACAUUAGAUGAACCAUCAGUAAAUAAAAUCCAAGUUACCGGAUUUGCACCAUUAAAAACUUGUAAUUCUUUUUCUGCUUUUAAAUGCAUCCCUUGACUAAAAUCUGCUACGAAAUCGGCGAGAACUUGGGAUUUUAUAGCAGGCCUAGGCUGAUAAAUGAUGUAAUAUUCACUUAGUUCGAUAGCCCAUUUUGCUAAUCUUCGUGACAAUUCAUGUUUAUGCAAAAUAUUUCGUAAUGGAAAAGUAGUAACUACAAUAAUAGGAUGACAUUGAAAAUAAGGUCUUAAUGCCAUGAUCAAAGCUAGUGCCAACUUUUCUAGUUGUGGAUACCGUGUUUCAGCAUCUAAUAAGGAUUUGCUUACAUAGUAAAUAGGAGAUUGUUUACCCUAGUCCUCUCGUACCAAAACAGCACUUACCGCGACUUCUGAUACUACUAAGUAAAUGAUCAGUGUUUCACCUUCCUUUGGUUUUGCCAACAAUGGGGAUUUUGACAAGUAAGCUUUCAAAUUCAUAAGGGCUUGUUGACAAUCUUCGUUCCAUUUAAAAUGGUCCUUCUUUUUGAGAGCAGAGAAGAACUUAAAACAUUUUUCUGAAGCUUUAGAAUUAAAUCUUCCCAGAGCUGCAAUCCUUCCCGUUAAUCUUUGAACGUUAUUCUUAUUGGUAAGGAUAUCAGGGAUUUCUUCUAUUUCUUUAAUUUGAGAAGGAUUUACCUCAAUGCCACGGUUAGAAACAAAAACCCAAAAGUUUACCUGAAGCAACUCCGAAUGCACACUUUUUAGGUUGAGUUUCAUGUUAAAUUUCUGUAAAAUUACGAAUGUAAUAGAUAAAUGAGAAAUAUGAUCGUGAGAAUGCUGGGUUUUGAUGAGAAUAUCAUCUAUAUAUUCCUCCAUAGUUUUUCCUAAAUUUUCUUGAAAUAUUUUGGUGACCAACCUUUGAUAGGUUGCUCCAGCAUUUUUUAGACCAAAGGGCAUUACUUUAUAACAGUAAAUCCCUUCAUCACGGGAUCCAUCUUAAUUUGAUUAUAUCCCGAAUAUGCAUCUAAAAACUCAAAAUUUCAUGAAAUGCAGUUGCAAUUGAUCUAUAUGCGGUAAAGAAAAAUAGUCUUUUGGACAAGCUUUGUUUAGAUCAGUAUAAUCCACACAAAUGCGCCACUUACCAUUUUUCUUAGGUACAACAACCGUGUUAGCUAACCAAUUAGGAUACUUUACCUCGUGGAUCAACCCAAUCUUUAAUACUUUUUGGACCUCAUCUUGAAUUACCUGGUUCUUGAAAGCACCUUGCUUUAUUUUCUUUUGCUUUAUUGGUGUGAAAUAUGGGUCCUCGUUACGUUUGUGAGUCAUCACAUCCGGUGGUAUCCCUGUCAUAUCAGCGUGGUACCAAGCAAAACAGUCUACGUUAGCUUUUAAAAACUCAAUUAACAUACCUCGCAUGUCGGGAUUUAGAUUNNNNNNNNNNNNNNNNNNNNNNNNNNNNNNNNNNNNNNNNNNNNNNNNNNNNNNNNNNNNNNNNNNNNNNNNNNNNNNNNNNNNNNNNNNNNNNNNNNNNNNNNNNNNNNNNNNNNNNNCUUUCGUUCAGGCCAUUGCUCAAAUAGCACCACAGCCUCGAGCUCCUCUAUUGUUGUUUUAAUGUUCUCAUUUUCUUCAGGUUCUUGAAUUACAUCAGUUCUUAAGUCUAAGUCACCCCCAACUGUUUCCUGCAAUUGCUAUUUCUCUUUACAUACGGUGCUCGUAUCUUUUACGACGUUGAUACUCCGGGCUGUUGGUUGAUCCCCUCGAAUUUGACAUAUUCCCCACGGGAUGGAAACUUAAUAACUUGAUGCAGAGUUGAUGGAACAACAUCCAUAUCAUGGAUCCACGGUCUCCCCAUGUUUAUAUUGUAGGCCAUUUCCAUAUCAACUACCUGAAAUUUAGUUUCUUUAAUAACACCUGCAGUUAUACUGUAUGCCAUUUCCAUAUAAACUACCUGAAAUUUAAUUUCUUUAAUAACACCUGUAGCAAAAGUUAUUACAAUUACCUCUCCUUUUGUUACCACGCUCGAAUUGUCGAAGCCUGACAAAGUAUGCGCCUUGGGUAUCAUUUUAUCUUCAGCUUGCAUUUCCCGUAAUACCCUUAGCAGAAUGAUAUUUGUAGAACUCACUGGAUCAAUCAAAACUCGUUUUACAUUAGUGUCAUGUACAAGUAAAGAUGUAACCAGUGCAUCAUUGUGAUGAGCAAUCACUCUUUUUGUAUCUGCGUUAUCAAAGUUUAUGCUUUCGUGCUCUAAGGUUUGUCGUACUCGCUUCCCGUGCGUGAUCAUCAUUUUGGAAACCUUAUUUGAAGUUGUAUACGUUACUCCAUAAAUAUCUUCUCCUCCACUGAUAAAGUUCAUAGUUCUCUUAGGCGAUGGUGGUUUCGGUGGAUCCUGCCUAUUUUUCGUAUAAGCAUGUUUUUCCUUUUCACUAAAUAUCCUUGCUGCAAUAGAUGGUCCACUUCACUUUGUAGGAAUCUGCAUUUUGAUGUUUUAUGCCCGUGGUCGUUGUGGAAUUCGCGCCAAUGGUCUGGUUUACGCCUGUUUUGAUUUGAUCGCAUCUUUUUUGGCCACCGUACAAAAUUAGUUACAUUGAAAUUAUCGCCAUCAAAUCGUGCCUUUAAAUUCCUCUCGUCAUCUUAUGGCUCUUGAUUCCUUCGAUCACCUCUGAACCUGGAUGAAGACCCGGUCUCCCUGUUUCUUGGCCUUUGAUCAUAUCGUUGUUUAUCCUGUUUUGAUCAUGAAUCUUUUCCUGCAGGUCCCAUAUAUGGAUCGCAUCUAUUCUUACUUGAUCUUUUUUCAGCUUCUGACCUCCUGGACACGUUCCUUUCUUCACGAUGGUACUGAGGUACGGUAUCCUCUUCAAUUCUGAGCUUAGUAUUGUACCUGCUAUAAACAUAAUUCCAAGUGGUUGCAGGAAAUUCAUGAAGACUUUCUUUAAGACUUCUCGUGGCAUCUGAACUUUUGUCAUUCAGAUUGCUUGCAAAAGCUAUCGCUGCCCAGUUAUCUGGUAGACGGGGUAGAGUCAUUCUUUCACGUUGCAAUCUAUCAAUAAAAUCUCUGAGCAGUUCAGAGUUCCCUUGUUUGAUUUUGAAGAUAUCCUCCAUUCUUUUCUCGACCUUUUGAGCUCCCGAGUGUGCUUUAAUAAAAUAAUCUGCAAGCGUAGCAAAAGAAUUUAUAGAAUUUUCAGGUAAAAGAGAAUAUUAGGUUAAUGCUUCCUUGGUGAGCGUUUCUCCAAAUUUUUUGACCAAUACUGAUUCAAUUUCCUGUUUGAUCAAGUUGUUGCCUUUUACGCAUGUUGUAAACGCAGUAACGUAGCCACGUGGAUCUGUUGUACCAUCAUAUUUUGGAAUGUCGGGCAUUUUAAUCUUCUUAGGAUUGGGAGAGGAGCAACAGUUGACUUCCAAAGUUGUUGUGAGUACUUGUCUAUAUCCACUCCUUUUAUUAUAGGUGGAACUCCAUGAAUUUUUUCAAUGCGCUCAUUUUGUUCCUUGAGCUGUUUCUGCAAGGUUAAUACUAAAUUUUGAAAAUAAGAAUUAUCUGAGUUACAUGGUUCUCCUUCUUGCGAAUCACUGGGGGUUGCCCCAUUACCAGAAUUGACUAGACCAGAGCGGGGGUUUUCCAACGUGUUAUUAUUCGGCGUUGUUGGUGUAGUAGGCAAUCGGCUAACUAAAGCUUCCAAGGCUAUAUCAAUUCGUGCAUCAAUUAUCUGUUGUAGAAGCUCAUCUCUUGUUUCUACUCCCCCAUCAGCAUGUUCAGAUAGAUCAUUAGGAGUUCCUUCUCGAGAUCUAAGUGGAGAAGCUUGAGGAAGAGGAUCACCUUGUUCAUCUCCUACCACUUGAUGAAUUUGAUUUUCUUGAUUGUUAUUGUCGUUGUUGUUUGACAUGAUGAUAACAAUGAGUAGAAUAUAAUUUAAAAAAGGAUAAAUUAUCAGAUUCCUGGCAACGAAACCAAUUUAUUUAGCCAAAAAAUAAUAUUUUGGUCAAAGCUAGAAUUUAAGAUGAAAAAUCGAGUUACUGAUAAUCAAGAGACCAAAAAAAAAUAAUAAGCUUUCUGAGAAUAAGAAUAAAGCAGUAAACAAGUUUGUGUUUCAGUAUGAUAUCAAUGAGUUUUUCGUGUCCUUACAAAUAAUGUGACUUCUUCAUUUUAUAGUUGAUUCUAAGUAAAUGAAUGGAACUUCAGCUUUAAUGAGAUAAUUAUGAGUAAUAAAUGAUAUUAAAUAAGCCAUUACACAAUCAUUCCUAUUAAAUACUAAUUUUCUAAUGUAUCAUGUAUUUAGUAUUGAAUGUGGACUCCUUUUUGUCAUCAGAUCCAUGUCUUUAAUGUCUUUUAAUCCGUUGGCUUUAAAUGACUUAAAUUGGUAUGAGACUCGUGUCUGAACUACUUCUCGCACCUGUUUAACUUUCUCUUCUUGUAUUUGUCGCCAAACGUGCCUUUUACUUAUGCAUGUGUUUCCCUUUAUGAAAAAAGUUUGUUCUGUGUGCCUUAAACAUUAAAAAAAAACCACAUAAUUAAUGCAUUAAGCACUAGAAGAUCUAAUCUUUUUGUCAUUUUUUUUAAUCGUUAGCAGCAUGACAGCUCUCUAGGAGACUUUCUUCGAAAAACAAAAAAUAUAACAGUAUAUCCUUCCGAUACAUUCUAAGUAUUUUUUCUUUGUUGUUUUUACGCAGGAAUUCACUUUUUAGGAUUAUAUUUUGUUCAUUAAAAAUAUAAUAAAUACUUCUGGACUUUUUAUUUCAAAGGCAAUUUCUAAAAGAAAGUUAACUCUUUUUUUAUAUUUAAUAAAUUAAAUAUAAUAGACCAUAAAAAACCUAAAAAUUACUUAAAGUGGACCCGAAAGAGUAAGAUUUAUUGAGUUGCAACUUCCAAUUCUCGAGUUAUGGAUAAAUGGAUAUCCCCAAAGAAUGGCAAGGAAGGAUUCGUUCCUUAAUUUGAGGCAAAGGAAUCAACACGGAAAAGGGACUUGCAUGUGCGGACCUAUAAAAAUUUCAACUGCAUGCUCAAAUUAAGCUGAUGGGUCGAACAAAAUUUUUGCCCCUGUUGUUGAGAUUUUGAUAUAAUCUUAGUAAAUAUUACUACUAAGUACUACAUAUACGAACCUAAUACCUAAUUCUGAGGAGGGUGAUAUGUCAGUAAGGGUCAGAGACAACUUGAAUAUAUUCUGAAUAGUAGGAUUGUUGGUCGUGAAAUUGAAACAUGGAUAUCUUUUUCAUUAUAGCACUGCCAAUAUGUGGCUUGAAAUACUAGCCAAUACACACUUAUUUGUAUGACCCGGGGCGAAGUUGAGUGAGCGCGAAAGGCGUUCAGCUGAACCUAAAAAUUAUAUUGUAUGUAUAAAGUUAGUUUAUAUAUAUAUAUAGGUGUUGAAUUUCAUUAGUUUUUUUCUAUGUAUUUACUUUUUUAUUUUUGAAUUCCUUUAGGCGAAAAUCCUGCGUUCGUCAUCAUUUCUACAUGAAAUUAAAUAUGAUCGAUAAUACAAAAAUCUCGAUAAUGACAAGAUACCUUCGUUGGUCUGUUAUAGAUUUACCCUACGUUAUUACUAGCAUAUUGAUAAUACGUGAGUUAAAAUCAUGAGCUUGAGGACGAGAGAUCUUACUUGUAUAAGAACUGACAGGACGAUCAACUAGAAACAAGGCACAACAAUCUUUUCACUUCUAGUCAUUAGUAAGUGUUGGAGUAUUAUUUUGUCCUCCAAUGAAUGUAGUAAUUUUUGUCCCUCACUUUAAAGAGUAUAGUUUAUUAUUAAAGAGUAUAGUUUAUUAAUCUAAUGUGACUCCAUGAUUCUACAAGUAGUUUCGUGCCUCAUCAUUUUACAUAACAUCGGUUUGCUUGAAAAUUUUGAAUAAGAGAUUUUGGGGAAAUAUUCAAUUUAUGCAAAAUCAUUUGCAACCAAUAUUUUGGAAAACCUUGCAAUGGGUUUCUCAAAAUAUUGGAAAAAUUCUUUGCACAAAACUUUCUGGUGGAAAUGACGCUAUGCAUUAUUUUUUAGCAUGUUGUUUAAAAUAUAUUCAUAGUUUAUAAUGUAUUUAACGAUUAGUUAAUUUUUCUAAAUUUCAUGACACAUUGUCCCGGAGUUUAAACCUCGAUGUUCAAACUUCAGGACAUCGAGUCCUGAAAUUCGAAAAUUGUAUCCAGAAAUUCAAAUUUUAUGUCAUGAUUUUAGAUUAGUAGUUCAGAAAUCAGGACACUUAAACCUAAAUUAAAGUCCUGAAUGUCAAAUUAAAAGUUCAAACUUAAUCUUGAAUUCAAAUUAGAAAUUUAAAAUUUUAGGGCACUAAGUCCUGAAUUUCAAAUAAGCAGCGCAAAAAUUCAGGAUACUUAGUCCUGAAGUUUGGGGGAAUUGGCUAAUCUUUAAAUACAUUGUAAAUUAUGAAUAUAUUUUAAAUAACAUGCUUAAAAGUGUCUACUAGUGCGCUUCGCGCAACCUUUCGUUCAAAUGUUUGAAGCAAGCGCUGUGAAGUUGGGUAAAGUGCACCAUUAGCAACUUUAGGCCUGAUGUUUAAAUAUAUCUAUAAUUUACUAUUUGAAAAUUGGCCAAUUCACCCAAACUUCAGCGGUAAGUAUCAUGAAUUUAGAAUUCACGACUUAGUGUCCUAGUGAUGGACGCACUAACAUGAUAUAUUCAAGGGGAGUUUCCAUGGCGUAUGUUAUUUGAUGAUAACAUAAUUCUUAUUGAUGGGACGCGAGGCGCUGUUAACGAGAGAAUGGAUAUUUGGGGACAUACUCUUGAGUCUAAGGGUUUCAUGUUGAGCAGGAUAAAGACAAAAUACUUGGAGUGCACUUUCAACACCGAGUCGAGGGAAGCCGACAUGGACAUCAGGCUUGGAUCACAGGUUAUCCCCAAGAGAGAUAGUUUCAAGUACUUGAGGUCGGUUAUCCAGGAGGACGGGGAGAUAGAUGAAGAUGUCACAGCACUAUAUAGGGGUGGGGUGGAUGAAAUGGAGGUUAGCAUCUAGAUUCCUAUGUGAUAAAAACUUCCAUUGAUACUCAAAGGUAAGUUUUAUAAAACGGUGGUUAGACCGGCCAUGUUGUAUGGUUAGAGCGUUGGCCAGUUAAGAACUCACAUAUACGGAGGAUGAAAGUAGCAGAAAUGAGGAUGUUGAGUUGGAUGUGCAGGACACACUAAGAUAGAUAAGAUUAGGAAAGAAGAUAUUCGGGAGAAGGUGGGUGUGACUCCUAUUGAUGACAAGAUGGGGAAAACGAGACUCAUAUGGUUGGUCAUGUUCGGAGAAUAAGUCCUGAUGCCCCGCUAAGAAGAUGUGAGUGGUUGGUUUUGGCUGGAACGAUAAGAGGUAGAGGACGGCCUAAGAAAUAUUGGAGAGAGCUAAUCAGGUAGGACAUGGAGUGGCUUCAAAUUUUCGGGGACAUGGCCCUUGAUAGGAACGUGAGGAGAUCGAGCAUUAGGGUUGUAGGUUACGAGAUAGUUGAGUAUUCGUCUACUUCGUUCGAGGUGUGAGGGUAGACUGAUAGGAUUUGUUUUAGAUUGCUAGUGGUUAAUAUUGUGUUCAGACUACUCUCCCGUUUUUCUUUACUGGUUAUUGUUACAUUGUUUCAACUAUUUUUUGGUUCUUAUAAUGCUCUUAUUAAUUCUAUGGUUUCUGUUGAUGGUGCUGAUAUAUUAUUUUUUCAUCUUUUUCAUUUUCUUGAGCCAGGGGUCUAUCAGAACCAACUUCUCUACUCCAUCAGGAUAGGAGUAAGGUCUGGGUACUCAAUACCCUCCCCAUACCCCUUACCUAUGAAAUUUUACUGAGUUGUUAUUAUUGUUGUUAUUGUUGUAAUAUGAAAUUCAAGUCACUUUGUCCUGAAUUUCUGAACUGCUAAUUUAAAAUUCAGGAUAUAAGAUUCAAACUUCUUGACAUAAUUUUCGAACUUUAAGACAUGAUAUCUUGAAGCUUGAAUUUUGAGGUUUAAACUUCAAGACGUUGUGUCACGAAGUUCGAGCAAAUAGACUAAUCUUUAAAUAUAUUGUAAACCGUGGAUAUAUUCCAAACAACAGGCUUAAAAUGGAUACUUGACGAGAUAUCCACCAUGAAGUUGGACAAAAGAAUUGAUCUAGCGUAGUUGGGAUUUUACCUAACUAUAAUAUAGUAGAAACCUAUUUACUAUAUUUAUCGAGGUUCCUUAUUAAUUACUUGAUAUAUCAAUAUUUACUAGUGUUAUACAAAACCAUAAAAGGGAGAAAAUGAAGCAUACCCUAAAUACUCGGUAUCAGUUAUACAUAAUCCACCUACAUUUAAGAUACUCUUCCUUUUUUAAAGGAUUAUAAAACAUCAUAUGUCUUUGUACUUACCCACUGUAAGAAACCCACUGAUACAAAUCAUCACCUAUCUUUUAUACAAAUCAACCAAUCUCUCUCUCUCUCUCUCUCUCUCUCUCUCUCUCUCUCUCUCUCUAUCCCUCAUACAAAUCAAAUUAUUAUUUCUCUAAAAUUGUAGUAUCAUAUAUUUCUCUGAAUCAAUUCCACCAACAACCAUGUGUCAACUAUAUGACAAAUUCCAUCAACAUUAUCUCUGACAUUGUAGGUGGAGGGGUCUGGCAUUGACAUACCAUUAAAAAGAUUCGAAGCUUUGAAUUAGAUAUUUAAAUUUUACGGAUUGGUGGCUUUUUUUAGAUUGGGUGUUCUUGAAAACGAUUCAAAAUAUCCUUUAGAGUUUAUAUCUAAAUUUUAAAGGAGAUUCGUUAAGUUUAAUGUUGGUUUUAGGUUGAAUUUCUUAUUGAAACUCAAGGAAGAAGAAGUUUCGGAAUUGUAUUACGAUUGUAUGAUAAAAGUAUCAUAAUUAUAUUUGAGUUGUAUUUGAUACGUCAAUACCUAAGACAAUUCUGAUAUAAUAUUAAUACUAUUAAAAAUAUAAUAUUAUAUCAUAAUUUAAGUUUAGAGUUGGUUCUAGGUAGAUGUUUAAUAUUGAAACCUGAAAAAGAUGAAGAUCAAAGUUGUAUCAUAAUCUAGAAUUGUAUCAUAAUUGUUUCGUAAUUUGUAACUAAAACAAUACAUGAUAACAAUGCUAAUACGAAUAUAAUACGAUAUUGUAUUAGUUUAAGUUUAGAAUCGAUUUUAAGUUGUAUCAUAACUAUAUUAGAAUUGUAUAAGAAUACUUUCGGGAUUGUAUCAAAUUUGUAUCUGAACAAUGAGUAGUUAUGAGUUCAUGAUGAAAUUUAUUAUUUAUAUUACAAAUAUAUGAUAAUUAUACAUUAAUUUAUUAGUAUUGUAUCAGGUAUUAUUUUGAAUAUUAAUGUACCAUUUACUGGUUAGAUACAAUUGUGAUAAGUAUGAUACAAUUAUGUUUUAUGCAUUGAUAUACCUUAUACAAUUUAAAUGCAAUUAUGAUACAGUUUUCAUACAAUUCCUAAAUAUUUUUUUUAUUUUCAGUGUUGUUCGGCCUCCCAACAAAAGAACGAUGCAAUUGAUGAUUUAAUAAUAUAAAGCUAUCGCUAAUGGUGGGAAGAGAGAAGAUGGAGAUUCUGGGUGUAGAUUAAAGGAUUUUAAUGUUAAAAAAAAAAAAAAGAGAAGAGGAAAGGGAAAAAUGAAAAGAUAUAAUUGAAUCCCUUAAUUGAAGGUACUAAUAAUGAGAUGAGAGCCUUUUAAGGAGAAUACAUUUAAAUGGGUCUGAGGUUAAAUUAUUUUUUUAAUCCAUUCUUAGAAUGCAAAGGGCGAAGAAGAAAAAAAAAUUAUCCAUAAAAAAAACAUGUGGUUUCGUUUCAAAUCUAAGAGCCCUUUCUGCAUUUUUUCUAUUAUAUUAGGAAAUAAUGAAUCUACAUCAUUUGUAAGAAAAAUCUAGACACUUACUAAAAACUACAAAAUAUAGAGAAUAUUGAUAAAACAAUUUCUAAUAUAGUAUCGGGGCGAGCUGAUCAGGCAGGACAUUGCGCGGCUUCAGAUUUUCGAGGACAUGACUCUUGAUAGGAACAUGUGGAGGUCGAGCAUUAGGGUGGUGGGCUAGGAGUAGUUUUUUAACCAAAAAUAAAAUUUUAGCCAAAGCUAGAAUUUUGAAGAAUACGGGUUACCGAUAAUCAAAAGAAUAUAUAAAGGAAGUAAUUUUAGCUGAAAGUAGUAUAAUCAGAAGUAAAGCAAGUAAACCAAAAUAUAUUCAGAUAGUGUUUCGUGUCUUUACAAAUGUUCAGUCCUCUCCCUUUAUAGUAAUUUUGGAGAUAUGUGCCUUGCCUUUGUCAUAAUAAGGCUAUUAUGGGUAAUUAAUCAUAUUGAAUGCUAUGUUACAUAAUCAUUAUAUUUAAUACAGAUUUUCUAACAUUUUUAGUAUUUAAUGCUCAUUAAAUACUGUAUUUGGACUCUCAUGUGCUGUCAGAUUCAUUCCAUUGAUUCUUCUUGAUUCUUGAACUUAAAUGUCUUGAGUAGGUACGGGCGCUGAAUUCUUUGAAUAACCGACCGUGCCUCUUCCUCUUCCUUUGCUCGUAUCUGUUGCUACUCGUGCUUCUUGGCUAGUUGUAACUAUUUGACCAUUUGACUAGUUCACAUGUCACGACACGUCAUCUUCAUACCACUUUAAUAUAUAAACUCAAUUUUUCUCAAUACAGAUAGUCAUUCCACUUACCAUUUAUUUAUCAGUUGAAUAUUUGGGAAGUGGAUUUUAUUAAAGCAAGAAUUUUUGUCACCAUUAAUGCUAUGACUGAAUUGACGCUUCAAUUGUCACUUCCAUUUAAUUCUCUUCACACGUGUCACUUCCCUAUUGGUUCUGCAGUUUACAGCCCCUUUUAAGGCUUUUUUAUGGCUCCACUAUACAUGAAGCUCAAUUUUCAUUAUUAUACCCCUUCCAUUACUGCACUUUUUCCCUUGGCGGUUGCUAAUCAAUAUAAAUAUAACUUCUUUCUUUGUCUUCGAGCCCAUAAGGUUUACUGAACACUUUAUUUCUCAAAUCUCUAUUUGUUUCUUCCUCGUGUCAUCCUUAUUCACUAUGUCUUCAUCAAACCCUAACCUUAGGAGAGUUCCCAUUGUUGAUAUCUUGCCCAAUGCUCCUAGUAGGGGCAGAAAGGGAGAUAGACACCGCAGUUCGGAUCUACACGAGGCUUUUCCAUUUUAUCUCCUAGUUUUGGUCCGUCUUCUAGAACCAGAGGUUACCUUUCUCUAAAAUCUUCUUCUAGGGGUAAAUGUCACGACUCAAACCCGGUCGUGAUGGCGCCCAACUAUAACGCUAGGCAAGCCUGACCAACAAUCGCUCUCAAUUCGACAAUAAAUCUCAAAAACCGAUAAUUUAAGGAAAAUGUAAUAGUUUUAGAAUAAUAAUCCAAUAUUUAUGGUAAAAUAAUACGGAGAGAUACGAAAUCCGAUAAAACACUCCCAUAAGAUCUGGGGUCACGAGUCUAGAGCCUUUAAAACAAACUGGAUAAUAAUUAUCUGAACGAAAUUACACAAGUCUGGAAAUGUAUGUAUGUGUAUAUAUAUACAUAUACAUAUACAUAUAUAUACAUACAUACAUACAUAUAUAUAUAUAUAUACAUACAUAUGUAUAUAUACAUAUAUAUAUAUACAUACAUAUAUAUAUAUAUACAUACAUAUAUAUAUAUAUACAUACAUAUAUAUAUACAUACAUACAUAUAUAUAUCUGAAAUGUGAGGAGUAGUCAGGUCCUGCGAACGUCAAGCAGCUACCUCAAAAAUUCUGAUAAGCUCUAGAGACAGAGACUGCUCAGCUAAGCCUCCGGUGCACCUGAAUCUACACACAAGGAGCAGGGAGUAGGGAUGAGUACUACCAACUCAGUGAGUAAUAAGUACAUAAAAUGUUUGAAGAUAAAAAUCCACGAAAUGCCAUAAAGUAAAGCUAAAACAAACAGUCUGACACAUUAACUAUGAACCAACAACAAAACAAUAUCAAAUAUAUCAGUCAAGUAUAAUGCAAGAAUGCAAUGCAAGGAAUUGCACAUGACCCGCUGCGGUGUACAGCCCGAUCCAUUGGGUACCCGCGCUCAUUGGGGGGGGUGUACAGACUCCGAAGGGGCUCCUAAAGCCCAAGCGCAAUAUCAUCUUAUCAUUACUGCAGCGUGCAUCCCGAUCCAUACUCAGUCCACAGUAUGUCAUUGAGUCACAUAACAGAUUCAAUUAAUUUCUCAGUUUCAAAUUAUUAAGAAUAUUAUAAUUUAGUUAUUUAACUUCAGGACAAAUGAUUUAGCAUUUCAUAACAGUGAUUAAACACAUGACUAAGAUUAAUGAUUAUAUAAAUCAUGCAAUCACAAUAAUAUUCAUCCUCUGAGGAUGCUACAGAUCGGCACAAGGCCUCAAGCAUGGCAAUAAGCCCAGAUAUAUUCAAUACAGGGUGCGUAUCAGUCGCCAAUAUAGUAAAAUUCCUGUUCGGGAUGGACCAAGUCAUAAUCCCCAGUCAUAAACACCAUGCACCUGCCAUGGGGUGCGAGUCACGCCCUAAUAUAGCGUCACAGUGUGAUAAACCGGGAUUUUAAACCCUCAGGCCAUCAUCUAUACAGAGUACUCAACUCUAACCGGUUGUAGGCUAGUCAGCAAUGCCCUUUUCAUCUUGAAUCGACCUCUUCGAAUCGAAUCAUAUCUAAACCACAACGAAUACGUUACAUUAUGCUAAUGAAACAUAGCCCAAUCGAAAUUACUCGAAAAUCGCUAAAAAUUACGAAGUUGGCAAAACCCGAGCCCCGGGCCUACUUCUCGAAAUACGAAAGUCACAUCACCGGACUCCUCAUCACGCCACGAGCUGGUACAUAUAAAGUUUACCAAAAUCGGAGUUCAAAUGACCCCUGAAAUCUUAAAUUCUUAUUUUCAAAUCCUUAGGUCCAAAAUCCCCAAUUUACACCGCAAAAACAUGUAAUCUAGUCGGAUUAUUCGAUGAUAAUUCAAUAUUAUGGAGUAAAAAUAAUCACAAGUGACAUACCUCAACAUUUCUUGUGAUUUCUUGCUCAAAAAUCUCCCCAAGCCGUGUUUUUUUCGCAAAACAAAUCGGUCAAAAACGAGCUGAAAAAUGCAGCAGCUUUAUUGAGCUAAUCUGGUCGCUAAAAGUCCCAAAUUUGGUCGCUAAAAGUGCCACACCAGACUAGGGGUGUUCAAAACCGAUCCGAAACCGAAAACCGAACCGAACCGAAGCUUAAUGGCUUAAGCAUAAAAGGGGAAAAAUGGGGCGGAGAUACAUGAGACAACGGAUCGAGUCGUUACAUCCUCCCCAACUUAAACAAACGCUCGUCCUCGAGCGUGCUCAGGGUUGUACUAGGAGCCAACCAACACCUGAAUGGCCUUACCAACCAUAUACCCGGGGUGAUCCCAUGUCACCCUAACUCACAUAGGCCCGAUAAUACAACGCAGCUAAAAUUUCACAGUCCAUCUAGACCAUAACUGUAGAACCACAUUGCACUUCCGAAACCAUACACAAGAUCAGAACCUUACAUUUAUAUAUAUAAUUGUGGGUGCUGCUUGCAACAUUUUAAUAGCUGGAUUUUGUGCUCAAGAAGAUGUGUUUUCAGCCCAAAAAUGAGAACUCCUGCCUACUGUGACUUGCCUCAUUGAUACAUUUUGCAAGUUAGAUCAGAUCGACGAGACCAAGAAGUUGUUCUGCGAAAUGACAAUUGGUAGAACAUCUCUCCUGAUGUCUUCACUUAUAAUUGCCUCAUUCAUAAAUUCUCCAAGUUACAUCGACUGGAUGAGGCUGAAAGUCGUUUCACAGAAUGAGAUUACCACAUUUAUUGGCUAAGUACUAAUCUUGAAAUGAUCAAGGCAGCUAAUCACUUUUAAUUUAGCCCAACCAAAUUAGAAGAAAAUGCAUGAUUACCUACCCGUGGACCACUCAUCAAUGUUACAGGGUUGAAGAACAACUUACUUGGAAGCAAGACAGAGGCAAUCUGCAGAAACUUGUGCAGUUUUAUCUGCCACUUCUCACUCAUAAUUGCCCUCUUCAUAAUGUUGCAUCUUAGAAUACUGAAUGAGAAGAAGAGGAAUAUAAGAACCAACAUGGUUAAAGUAAUAUAUUCUUCGGGAACAAUGAGUUUCAACUAAUUAAAUUCUCAGUAGCUUAUUAGAAGAAUAAAUGGCAUAAAGAUCUGUUGUUCUUAAACUAAAGCUUGCAAAUCUAAUGAUCUUAGUAUAACUACUCAACGUCAAACACACUUGCGAAAUGGAACUGGACAUUGGANNNNNNNNNNNNNNNNNNNNNNNNNNNNNNNNNNNNNNNNNNNNNNNNNNNNNNNNNNNNNNNNNNNNNNNNNNNNNNNNNNNNNNNNNNNNNNNNNNNNNNNNNNNNNNNNNNNNNNNNNNNNNNNNNNNNNNNNNNNNNNNNNNNNNNNNCAAUAUACCAAUCCGUCCGAUAUCUUAUCGGGCGGCUAACGGAUGAAUACAUUUAAAAGCCGAUAACCGUUAAGCCAAACCGUUAAGAGUAAAUAGCCGCCCAAUCCGCCCGAUGAACACCCCUACACCAGACUUCAUGCACCAGCACUCUUUAAUUUUACUAAAAAUGCUCUAACUCCUUCAUGCGAACUCGAAAUUAGACGAUUCUUGUUUCUAUGAGUCACAAAUAAUAAUACAAACACAUCCCUUCAAUAGAAACUCAAUUCGGAGCUCAUUUGCCCAGUGCGAUAUCCAUUUCGCUCGUUAAAUAAUUACUCAUGUUUUGUGUCAAAACUCAAUCGCGACUUGAUGAAAUUAGACUAAAUUUCCAGAUCAGUCCUAUAAUUCAUUAUCAAAAUUGAAUCUCUAGAACUAAAAAUGAACCUUAUAUCAUUACGUUUAUGCUCAAAACGACAAAAAUCAUCCAAAAACUCUUCCAAAAUUUAUCCGAGCCUCAUGGAAUCCCAACAAAGUAUACGAAAAAGUCCCAAAACACAUUACGGACUUGCUCGAGGCUUCAAAUCACAUCAAACAAUGCUAAAAUCAUGAAUCAACCUCCAAUCCAAGCUUGAUGAAUUUGAAGUUUCCAACUUCUAUUUCCGAUGCCGAAACCUAUCAAAUCACGUCUGAUAGACUUCAAUUUUGCACACAAGUCAAAAAUGACAUGAAGAAGUUACAAAAAUUCUCAGAAUUCUAUUCCGAGCCUCGGAUCAAAAUCUCACCGGUCAACCGGAAUUCGCCAAAUUCCCAACUUCGCCAAAAUAGGCUAAUUUCCACACCGAGCCUCCAAAUUCACUUCCGAUUGCUCUCCUAAGCCUUAAAUCAUGCCCCGAAACUAGUCGAACCAUAAGAAAUACAUUCCAAUCCUUGUAACUCAAAAGUCAACAUACGGUUGACUUUUCCAAAUUACCCUUUCCUUAAAGAGAAUAUUUGUCUCAUUUCUAGCCGAACUCUAUUCGAAUUACCUCAAAUUCACCAAACACAUAUAAUGAAACAUACAGAAGCAUAAAAAGGGGAAAACAGGGUGGAGAUACAUAAGACGGCGGGUCGGGUCGUACAUCCUCCCCAACUUAAACAAACGCUCGUCCUCGAGCGUGCUCAGAGUUGUACUAGGAGCCNNNNNNNNNNNNNNNNNNNNNNNNNNNNNNNNNNNNNNNNNNNNNNNNNNNNNNNNNNNNNNNNNNNNNNNNNNNNNNNNNNNNNNNNNNNNNNNNNNNNNNNNNNNNNNNCCUUACCAACCAUAUACUCGGGGUGAUCCCAUGUCACCCUAACUCACAUAGGCCCGAUAAUACAACGCAGCUAAAAUUUCACAGUCCAUCUAGACCAUAACUGUAGAACCACAUUGCACUUCCGAAACCAUACACAAGAUCAGAACCUUACAUUAAUACUCAGAAUAAGCCCAAACUAGUUGUAAUAACCCAUACAUGUGACCGCAGGUGAACCCAUGCAACAAACCACACAAUCCAACACUCGAAACAAUAGCUACUAUUCACAGCAUUUGCCCACAACACCCAAAUAACGGUGGAAAAACCUUUUAUUAACCAUGGUCUUAUUCUAACACUUCCAUACACUGCCAACAAUAAAUGAAACACGCAAUACUGCAACAGCCUCUCAGAUCAACCAUUCAUGAAGUCACUUCCCUUUAGACUACUAUCACAACAAAUUUCCGAGUCGAACCUCGAUAUUAACCUUCCAACAAGCUGCAACCAAAUCCGUUCGUAUUCAUUAAUAACCCCAAUGAUCACCUCGCAUCCUACGUACGAUUCUAGUGAUAUGAAACCUUAUCACCGAAAAUCCAACGAUCACCUAGAAUCCCACAUACCAUUCUGCUGAUAUGACACCUUUUCACCGGCCUAAGCCACGCUUACAUAACACGCGCACCAAUAAGGAACGACUUGAAUAUACUCAAAUCCUGAUAUUACCUCAACAAAAGAGCUGUAUCUCAAGCUUAUCAGUACCAUCACAACACAAGGUGGAGACCUCGCCUCACAUCAUAGGAAAUAGAAUACCUGAAUCCUCCUUGAAAGGCCAUGACUUCACGUGACCUCGCCAUAAGGCGCGAUUCUGUCCAAACACUAUUACACAUGACGUACCUCGAGUCACCAUGCUCGAAAUAGACAGCCACGCACAGAUUGAUGUCUGAAACCAAGCAAUCCAUCACACCCAUGGUGAAGCAAGUAAUAUACACCAUUCAAUCAUGAAAGGACACAACCAAUGCGCUAUUCGCCGAGCAACUCCCAAUACGGACUUUCUUCAGAAACCAGGAAGCAAGGCAUACAAAGUAACAUAUGGAAACUAUCCUCAACAUCACAUUGUUGCGGCGCGCAACCCAAUCCAGAUAAUAUACCAUGUGGCAACGUGUCACCCAAUCCAUACGAAUCUCACAUAGGGAGAUGCACAUCGAGCCGAAUUUGCUUAUUAUAACAAAAUAUCGAGUAUCGGUCGUAAGCACACCAAAUUCAUAAUCAUAUCUACUUAUGUCGGUGUAAGCUACAAAACUCAACUUCCACUAUGAAUCUCGAUAGCAGCGCAAUUUAUGUACCACUGCCCAAAAAUCAUAGCGCCUCACAGCACCAAAAAGAAACUCAAAGAUCUUCCUAGAUCACUAGUAGAUCCAAUAACGAUUGAAUCAACCCAUCCUUUAUCAAUACAAUUCGGGACUAACCAAGCCAACCCAAGCUAAACAGGUAUCCAACUAGCUUACCAGCAAGCUCAUUACCAAUAAGCCUGAAGUUGCAUCUUCCACUACUAUAACUCAUGCCAGAGUCGUACGAUUUGGUUACCCGACACCAAAUAAAUUUGAAAUUCAAAAUCUCGCCCAGAGAUAUGCUCGGCCAAAAGGAACGCGUUCGUAAAGUUCCUUCAAUAUCGGAUCUGAAUCAAUGGUAGAAACCUCUAUACUGACAUCUGUCAAAAAGGCCCAAUUAAGUAAAGCAAUUCUUCCCAGCCGUUCGUUGGUUUUUGGAAUGCAACUCACUUUUACUAUAACAUCACCUGAUGCACCUCGCCACGAAACCAGUGGCAAUCUUCCAGCAUAGCCCAUAACACAAUAGUCUAGGAUAACCCAACAUUGAGGCAACCAGUAUACACCCAAUAUCAUAUCCAAAAUUGAUCGUAUCAACAAAUAAAGAUCCACUCUAGCAUCCAAAUCCUAAUUUCCACUAAACGGUUCUGAAUACACACGAUCCACAACCACGACAUAAACUAUGUCGGAGAACUCCAGUCUCCCCCUCCAUAUAACACACAAACCGCUAUACCUAGUCCCACGUUCCGCCGUAUGAAUACAUAUUACACAUCAAGAACCCAUCACUCCACAAAAGAUAUUCUAAAAUUUCUCUGUGCAAUCAGCAAACUCGAAUAUUAGUUGUCGAUCCAACAAGAAGAAUGUCGCAACUCUACUGAUGUAUCAUUAGUCUGUUCACAUUACCAUCCUUCCGAGACAUAUACUAUCGCUAAAUCACCUCUAAUUACCAGUACCAUUUCCUUGAUUACUCGAGACUACUCGUUGCCUAAGAACAUUAUGAACUUCUUUUCAGAAUUGAACCGAAACCUCGCACACGCCCGUCUCGGCCCCCUAUAACAUACCGCACCUACCAUACUUUCCAAGGAUAACACGAGAACUUUCGUCCCCCUUCCGUACCGCAGACUUCGACGCACUCAACUAGUCCAGAACAUUCAUUGAUCCCAUUUAGAAAAAAAAUCAUUACGCACUCCAUGCUCCGCAAGUCCAUAGAAAUAUACAUCCCCAAACCCUGAUGAAACCCAAUGCGAAUUCUCUCCCAAUUCUGUUUGUACAAGCUAAACUGCCAGGACUAAAUCCUUCUACCUGAACAAAGCCAAGCACACUGUCAGUACUCACGAGCCUUGCUGCCCAAUGCUUGUAUAAACUCAUUACUUCGAAAACAUACAAAGAAUUGAUCAUAUCUUUACCACACUGAUUCGGUCCAUUAACAAGCUACUUCAUUUGUCUAGAUUUCCUUCUGAUUCAUUUUCAACUUGAUAUACUCUAUUGAUGUAGCACCAUAAUGCCUCAACCCAGGCAUACCACACGAGUAUCGAACGUAAGACCACACUGUCUAAUCAUUCGUGCCUUAUCAGCACUCUGACACCGCAGGACAUGAUCUCAUUCCAAUACAACCAAACCACUUCCUUCUCUUUACACUAAGCAUUCUUUAUCAAUAACUCAAGACAUCCGAUUAUUUUCUCACAUCUACUAAGCACCAUAUAACCUUUGUCAAAAAAUUUUCUUCACUCGUGCCACCCUCGGCUAAAUUUCUACAACCAGAACUGAUUCACCCGCAGGCAUUAAAUCGAAACUAACAUAAUACAUGACCGUACAAUCAGCUAAACAACAACAACCUCCCCAACUUCGCUCGAAGCCAUAUAUAUCACAAUACAUAUACUCUAUUGCUGUCGUAAUAUCAUGGUGAGAUUACACUCACUCUUUCCUAAGCUUGUGGAAACACGAAUCAUCAAAAAUUUUAACUCUUCUGCAAUUCUUGCAUUCAUUCACCCAACGGUUAAGCCCAUUCUUUAGGCGACCAAAUUUUUACUAAGUCCCAAAUUUUUCAAAAAUUUCGACAGGGCUUCCUUUUUAGUUGGGCCUAUCCACCUGCCAGAAAAUCACCAAAACCAUCCUAGCAACACGUCCAUAACUUGACAAAGCACCACAAUGUAUAUCAACAACAUUAAUCCCGAUUUACAUGUAUUAUAUUAUCAAACUUAAUGCAUGGACAUGCGUUGCUCCUAUUUGAAUCAUAACACAUGGGAAGUACCUUUCAAUUACACAUGAAAUCUUCUCAUAGUAUUCAUAGGAAUCGCAUCACUUCAGAACACUCCGUAGGGGAUAAACCAUCUGCUUCGCCGCAAUAUAACAUUUCUGUAUACCUUCCGCUGUCAUACAUAUUACACAGCUACUGAGUCUUCCCGGGUCUAAACUCAUAUUGUAUCAUGCAAUUUACUUCACUCCCACUAGGAGCCUUGAAAAGAUUCUUCAUGCGCCUAUAUUCGGGAUACACAUCGAACCACAAUAGGAAACGAAUCACUUAACAGUUUGUCUAUUAUCCAGCAAACUUCUUCGUCGCUACCAAGUCAUAUAAUUGCAUCUCGCAGCACUAACAUACUCAAUCACAUUAAUACCAAACUUCCAUUAUGGCUAAUAGCGACAAUACCGAACAUAUGAGUUCAUAACACUAUCUCGCAGAAUUAGCACUCUGGUGCUCAAGCCAUAUGUGAAGACUCGGCCUCAAGUUCUCUAGACGGGCCCAACAUCAACCUCACGAAGAUUACAUCUUACCCCUCGAUCGGGGAAUCACAAGCCAUCAAAGCACAUCUGAUACCGAGCGCUCAUGCGCGAAUGCGAACACGUGGAAGGAAUUUUAAGAGUUACUCUUUCAAGCUGAAUCAAGGAUGCACGAUAAGAUUUCAAGAAAGUGCAGUGUUUCCUAAAGGUUCUAUAGCCUCCUGCUUAUAAGUGUGGUGCAUGGCACACCCAUAAACAGGACUCUACUAAGCCGGCUCAUGACUCGUGAGACGAAGUAUUUCCUAAAGGUUCUGUAGCCUCCCGGGAUAGAUACGGACGUCUACGUACCGAUCUGCAAGACUCUACUAACCGGCUCAUGACUCAUGAGGCCUAGUAACCUAGGCUCUGAUACCAACUUGUNNNNNNNNNNNNNNNNNNNNNNNNNNNNNNNNNNNNNNNNNNNNNNNNNNNNNNNNNNNNNNNNNNNNNNNNNNNNNNNNNNNNNNNNNNNNNNNNNNNNNNNNNNNNNNNNNNNNNNNNNNNNNNNNNNNNNNNNNNNNNNNNNNNNNNNNNNNNNNNNNNNNNNNNNNNNNNNNNNNNNNNNNNNNNNNNNNNNNNNNNNNNNNNNNNNNNNNNNNNNNNNNNNNNNNNNNNNNNNNNNNNNNNNNNNNNNNNNNNNNNNNNNNNNNNNNNNNNNNNNNNNNNNNNNNNNNNNNNNNNNNNNNNNNNNNAGUAACCUAGGCUCUGAUACCAAUUUGUCACGACCCAAACUCGGUCGUGAUGGCGCCCAACCAUAACGCUAGUCAAGCCUGACCAACAAUCGCUCUAAAUUCGAAAAUAAAUCUCAAAACAGACAAUUUAAGGAAGAUAUACUAGUUUUAGAAUAAUAAUCCAAUAUUUAUAGUAAAAUAAUACGGAGAGAUAGGAAAUCCGAUAAAACACUCCCGUAAGAUCUAGGGUCACAAGUCUAGAGCCUCUAAAACAAACUAGAUAACAAUUAUCUGAACGAAAAUACAGAAGUCUAGAAAUGUGUACAUAUAUAUAUAAACUAAAAUAGGAGGAGUAGUCAGGUCCUGCGAACGUCAAGCAGCUGCCUCAACAACUCUGAUAAGCUCUGGAGAAAGCGACUGCUCAGCUAAGCCUCCGGUGCACCUGAAUCUGCACACAAGGUGCAUUGAGUAGGGAUGAGUACUAUCAACUCAGUGAGUAAUAAGUAUAUAAAAUGUCUAAAGAUAAGAAUCCACGAAAUGCCACAAAGUAAAGCUAAAACGAACAGUCUGACACAUUAACUAUGAACCAACAACAAAAUAAUAUCAAGUAUAUCAGUCAAGUAUAAAGCAAGAAUACAAUGCACAUGACCCGCUACGGCGUACAACCCGAUCCAUUGGGUACCCGCGCUCACUGGGGGUGUGUACAGACUGCGGAGGGGCUCCUAUAGCCCAAGCGCAAUAUCAACAUAUCAUUAUUGCGGCGUGCAGCCCGAUCCAUACUCAGUCCACAGUAUGCAUAUGAGUCACAUAACAGAUUCAAUAAAUUUCUCAAUUUCCAAUUAUUAAGAAGAACAUAAUUUAGUUAUUUAACUUCAGGAAAAGUGGCUUAGCAUUUCAUAACAGUGAUUAAACACAGGACUGAGAUAUAUAAUUAUACAAAUCAUGCUAUCACAAUGAUAUUCAUCCUCUGAGAAUGCAAUAGAUCGACACAAGGCCCCAAACAUGGCAAUAAGCCCAUAUAUAUUCAAUACAGGGUGCGUAUGAGUCGCCAAUAUAGUAAAAUUCUUGUUUGGGAUGGACCAAGUCACAAUUUCCAGUAAUAAACAACCCCGCACCUGGCAUGGGGUAAGAGUCACGCCCUAAUAUAGCGUCACGGUGUGAUACACCGGGGUUUCAAACUCUCAGUCCAUCAUCUAUACAGACUACUCACCUCUAACCGGUUGUAGUCUAGUCCGCAAUGCCCUUUUCCUCUUGAAUCGACCUCUUCGCGCGUCAAAUCUAGUCAAAACCACAACGAAUACGUUAUAUUAUGCUAAAGAAACAUAGCUCAAUCAAAAUGACUCGAAAAUUGCUAAAAUCACGAAGUUUGAAAAACCCGAGCCCCGGGCCCACUUCUCGAAAAAUUACGAAAGUUACAUCAUCGGAUUUCUCCUAUCGGCACGAGCCCGCGCAUAUACAAUUUACCAAAAUCAGAGUUCAAAUGACCCUUCUAAUCUUCAAGUCUUAUUUUCAAAUCCCUAAGUCCAAAAUCCUCAAUUUACACCUCAAAAACAUGUAAUCUAGUUGGAUUAUUCGAUGAUAAUUCAAUAUUAUGGAGUAGAAAUAAUCACAAGUGACUUACCUCAAGAUUUCCCAUGAUUUCUUUCUCAAAAAUCGUCCCAAGCCGUAUUUUUUCGCAAAACAAAUAGGUCAAAAACGAGAUAAAAAAUGCAGCAGCUUUAUUAAGCUAAUAUGGUCGCUAAAACCCAAAUCUGGUUGCUAAAGUGCAGAUUGGUUGCAAAAAGUGCCACACCAGACCUGAUGCACCAACUCUCUUUAAUUUUACUAAAAAGUCUCUAACUCCUUCAUACGAACUCGGAAUAAGACGAUUCUUGUUCCUUUGAGUUAUAAAUAAUAAUACAAACACAACCCUUCAAUCAAAACUCAAUUCAGAGCUCAAUUGCCCAGUGCGACAUCCAUUUCGCUCGUUAAACAAUUACUCAUGUUUUGCGUCAAAAACCCAAUCACGACUUGAUGAAAUUAGACCAAAAUUUCCAGAUCAGUCCUAUAACUCAUUAUCAAAAUUUCGGAAGUCACAAAUUAAAUUUGGAUCUCUAGAACUAAAAAUGAACCUUUAGAUCAUUACAUUUAUGCUCAAAACGGCAAAAAUCUUCCAAAAACUCUUCCAAAAUUUAUCCGAGCCUCAUGGCAUCCCAACAAAGUAUACUAACAAGUCCUAAUACACAUUACGGACUUGCUCGAGGCUUCAAAUCACAUCAAACAACGCUAAAAUCAUGAAUCAACCUCCAAUCCGAGCUUGAUGAACUUUGAAGUUUCCAACUUCUAUUUCCGAUGCCAAAACCUAUCAAAUCACGUCCGAUUGACUUCAAAUUUUGAAAAAAGUCCAAAAUGACAUGACGAAGCUACAGAAAUUCUCAUAAUUCCAUUCCGAGCCUCGUAUCAAAAUCUCGCUUGUCAACCAGAAUUCGCAAAAUUCCUAACUUCGCCAAAAUAAGCUAAGUUCCUUAUCGAGCCUCCAAAUUCACUUUCGAUUGCUCUCCUAAGCCUUAAAUCAUCCCCCGAAACUAUUCAAACUAUCAGAAAUCCAUUCCAAGCCCUCUAACUCACAAGUCAACAUCCAGUUGACUUUUCCAAACUACCCUUUCCUUAAAGAGACUAUUUCUCUCAUUUCUAGCCGGACUCUAUCCGAAUUACCUCAAAUUCACCAAACACAUAUAAUAAAAUAUAUAGAAGCAUAAAACAAAGAAGAUGAGAUGGAGAUACAUGAGACGACGGGUCAGGUCAUUACAGUAAAGAACCUUCUGAACCAGUACAUGAGCUUUUAGUUGAAGAGAUAGUCCCCAUGGAACUAUCUUUUUACCAUGUCAGGGAAUCUCUUAGGAAUCAAAUUUCUGCUUUAGAUCAUGCUGAUGUCUAUCCCACCCAAACUACAGAAGUUUUGACUCAUGUAGUUCGUAAAGAUUGUCAUUAGAGCAAUGAUUUUCCUAUCAUUAUUCCUAAUCUAAAUAAAAGAAUCACUUCUUAUUUAACUAGAUUCUCUUUUGUUUAUACAUACUCUUUCACCUUAGGGUUCAAACCAGCUAUUGACCCAGUCAUUCUUGAAUUUUGUUGUUUUUUCAAUGUCUGUUUGUGUCAAAUUGCCCCAAUCAUAUGGAGGGAUGUUGCCUUUUUGAGGCAUUUAACCAAUAAAGCCGAUGUUCCCUUUACUUUCCCUCACUUAAUUCAUCUUUACUCCCCUGGGAUUUUUUGAAAUGGUAUUUUUACACUAGUAGACAGGAGCAAGAGGGCUUUGGUGAGCCCUGAAGAUGACAAGGACCGUGGCUGGUAUGCCCGAUUUGUUGCUGCCCUCACUAUUGGUUUAGUGGGUGAGGAUAAUGUUCCCUUCCCCGAGAAGGGAACUUUGCACGUAAGUCUUUUAUCUUUCUCGUGCUUUUUUCCUUCAAGUUUGUCAACUUUUCUAAUUUUGCUUUCCUUUUUUUAGCAACCAAGGGAGUUGUGGAAGAUGUUCCUAAUUUCUAUGGUUGUGUAAACAAAUUAAUGAAUACCGCACCAAUGGAUAGUAGGUCUUGGAAGACAUUUUCUAACUAUUUUGGUUAAAAAGUAAAGACUCAUGGCAAGAGCUUCUAUUUUAUUUCCUCUUUCACAUAUAUAUUUCUUUUUAUAGCUCUAAUUCCAACCCCUCUUUUUAUCAAGAUUUGCUAUUUGAGGAGUUACUGCCGAGGCAGUUGCGACCUCCCAUGUCUUUUCAGGAUAAAACCAUAUCUCUUUAAAAAGAGCUCAAGAAAUAAUCUUAGGCUCUUCUUCUGCAAAAAGAAAAGCUAUUAAGGAAGAGGACUCCGAUGAAGAUAUUAAAGAAGAGGAAGACAUGGGCUCUUUGGUGAAGAGGCCACGAGCACGAAGACGCAUCAUCUCUGAUGACGAAGCUGAAGCAUCUCCCCAUCUUUCCGUUUCUCUCACAGAGCCUAUUGGAGCCUCGAUAAUAAUUUCUAAUGAUGACGUCGCUACCUCUGAUACUCGUGAGUCUAUUGAACAACUUUUUAUCAGUGGGUUUGGUAGUGGAAGUUUAGGGCCCGUUUUACAUGAAACACUCUAGCCUCUCUUUCAACUCAUGUGUUUGUGACUCCUUUGUUGCCAACCCCAGCUGUUAUUGUUCCUUCUUCAACUAUUUUUACCUCUUCUACCACUCCUCCUUUGAUAAUUCCCCCUCCAAUAUUUCAUCAUACUGAAGUGGGUUCUUCAAGUAGAAGUGUCGCUAUGAGGAGGGUGGUCAUUGAAGUUCACGCUGAGAGCAACCUUUUGAGAAAGUAAGGUCAGAAAGAUGUAUGGCUGGAGCCUUUAAUUGGAUCAACUGAAAAAGCUCAGUUGGAGAGCCAUAGUUGCCUGACUCUACUGAAUGAUAUCGUGCAUGCCACAUUGAAGGUACUUUACUUCUCUCCCCUUUUUACUUUGUAAUUUUCCUAUCUUUUGGAUUCUAAUUUUCCCCUGAUGAAUAGAAUCCCGCUCUUGGAGCAGAUAGCACAUGACUCUCAAUUAGAGGCGUUCAAUUGGAAGGAAUAGUUCGAGAGUUAACGAAUUGACAUGGAAUUCUUACAAGAGAGGAAGAGUACCUUAGAGCAGCAGGUGCGGGCUUUAACCUCAGAGUUGGCGGUUAUAAAGCUUCCUCAAGCCAAGCAGAAAAAAAGAGCGUCCCGAAUCUUCUUUCUCAGAACAACUAUCCAAGGCCAAUGAAGAGAACAUAGAGUUGAAAGCCCAUUUGAGUCAAAAAGAAAAUUACGAUGGGGAGCUCGUGCGAAGCUUAACUCAAGCACAAGAAGACCUCUGAGUCUCUUCUGAUAAGGUGCGUGCUUUAGAAAGCUCCUAUGUAUCUCUUCAAACUUCUUACAACUCUGUUGUGGCCGAAAAUGAGGAGCUAAAGAAUGAGAUUGCCACUUGGGAAAGGGAUUAUGAGACCCUUGAGGAACAAUCUGUUGUUGAGGUGAGUUGGGCAUGUUUUUAAUUCACGUCGUGAUACACUAAUCAAAGCUAGCUAAGAAAACUUUAACUUGGAAUCUGAGUUGGCAAAAAUCAAUGAAACCAUUGAGAAAGCUCAACAAACUCAAGACUUCCCUUCUCCCGUGGCUGAAGCUUCGGUGAACGUUGAAGUCGAUUCUGGUAUCGCAACUCUUUCAAGCCCAAUCGAGCCUAUUGCAACAAGACAAGUUGAGCCUGCAACUGUUGAUGCAUCUGCCUCAAUUGAACCUGCAACUUUUGAUGCAUUGGCCCCCAAAUUGAGCCCGUUGCUAUUAAUGCUCCUGCUUCAGUUCCACAAACUUCUCAGUGACCAACUUUAAUCAUUUGAAUGAUUUUGUUUUUGUUUUUAUUUUUAAAAUUGUAAUCAAACCGUUGGCUUAAUUUGAGGGUUGAUUUUGAAAACACAAGUCCCCAAGUCUUUUAUGGGGCAAUCUGUAUAAACAAUUUCAUAGUUCUAUGACUAUGUUCGUACUUAGUCUUAUGUUUUUAAAAUAUUAAGAAGUUUUUCAUUUUAUUAUCUUAAGCUUCUGUUUGUUUUAUUCUUGCCUUUAUUUUUAAGGACUUACAGAAUAAUUUGCAUUCUUGUUCUUUGAAAAUGCUUCUAUUAAUCUCAUGACUAAUUUAUUUAGACAUGAGUUUCAUAAAAGAGGGCCCUUUUAUAUUUCGACACUUAAUGAAGAAGACGUCUCAACUUCAUAAUGGUGUUAUCAUCCGAUAAAAUAAAUAGGAACACACAUAUUUCUUUGAAAUAACUUUGACAAGUUUUUAUUUUUGAACCUUAUCGAGUUUUAAAUAAUACUUUAUAUAUUUUUGAAUUACAUCUAUAACUUUUUCGUAAUUGUUUUUCUUGUAACAGAUUUUUACAAAAGAAGAAUGAUAGACAUGAGGUUUUUCCUUAUAACCCGUUUUAGUACAGAGCCUUUUCCUUAAAUGUAAUGAGGUUUUCUUUGGCAUUAGCUCGUGACUUCGUGACUUUUACUCUGCACUUGACUCUUUUAGGCUUGAUUAUUCCUCAAUCUUAUGUGCCUUCUUUCUACACAUAUAUGUGCAUAUUAUGUAGUCCCCUAAGUGUUUGAGCAUUCAAGUAUGAAGCCUCGAGCACAUGAUAGUUUCUCUCAUUUGGUCAUUUUUCUAAAAAGGAAAAACAUACGAGACUCGGAGGUGAGAUUAUAGAUGAAGACUGCUUAACCCGUUUGAAUUUCUAUCAGAAUAAUUGUAACCCUAGGCUAGGAAUUUUAGUUUAUGUCAUUUUGCCUUACAUAUCGUGACUCAUCAUUUUAUUACGGGUUAGCAUUUUGCCUAUCAUCUAAAAUCAUUCGUAAAAUUUUAACAUCCAAAAAUUAAAUUUAAAAUAGUGAUACCUGACCGUGGGUAUUUCUUAGAAAUAGUAUCUCUUCAAAUGAAAAGCAUUCCAAUGUGAAAGUAGUAUCUUGCCAUCUAUUGUCUCCAUAUCAUAUGCUCCUUUUCUUGCAAUAUCACGAACUCUAUAGGGUCUUUCCCAUGUUGGACUUAAUUUACCCGCGUUAGCUGCCUUUGUAGAUUCAAAAACCUAUUUAAGCACAAAGUCCCCAACUUUGAAGAAUCUGAGGCGUACUUUUUGGUUAUAGUAUCGUACUAUGACUUAUUUUUGUGCUGCCAUUCUUAUUAGCGCAGCUUCUCUCCUCCCUUCGAGUAAAUCAAGAUUGGCCCGCAUCUGCUCGUCAUUAGAUUCUUCAGUCGCUUGUGUGAACCGUGUACUUGGUUCUCCUGUCUCAACUGGGACUAAAGCCUCAGCUCCAUAAAUCAAUGAAAAUGGUAUUUCUCUUGUACUUGUUUUUUCAAUUGUACAAUCUGCCCAUAAAACUCCAGGCCAGUUACCUUUUGAUUCCUCUAAACGCUUCUUUAAAUUCUUGAUAAUAACUUUGUUUAUUGAUUAUGCUUGCCCAUUACCUACUGGAUGAUAUGGUGUAUAUGUAAUCCUUUAAUUUGCCAACUUUGAAAGAAUUCCGUGAUUUGAGAUCCUAUAAAAUGAGGCCCGUUAUCACAUACGAUAUCUUUUGGUACACAGAAUCGGCAUAUGAUAUUUCGCCAAAUAAAAUUUUUUACUUCCUUUUCUCGCACUUGUUUAAAUGCUCAUACCUCUACCCAUUUAGUAAAAUAGUCAGUGAGUACGAGCAUAAACUUUACCGUUCUUUUGCCUGCGGUAAUGGACCCACGAUAUCCAUUUCCCAUUUCAUAAAUGGCCAUGGUACAAUGACUGGAUGUAUAACUCCGCAUGUCUAUGCAUAUUGUUACAGUACCUUUGGUAUUUGUCAUAUUUAGCCACAAAACUUUUUGCUUUCUCUUCCAUUUUAGGCCAGUAAUAACCUUCCCUAAUUAAGGUUCUUACCAGUGAUCUUUCACAUGCGUGAUUCCCAAAAUGUCCCUCGUGUAGUUAUCUCAUUACAUACUCCAUUUAAGAAGGUCCUAGACAUCUUGCUAAGGGACCACCGAACAUUUUACGAUAAAGAUUCCCUUGCUUUAAACAGUACCGAGCAACCUAUUUUCGAAGUGCAUGUGCUUUUUUCUUAUCAUCAGGAACGGUACCAUAUUGCAAAAAAGCAACAAUUCGUUCCUCCAAUCCCAAGUUAAGUUAUUAAAAUUUACCUCAUUAUUAUCGAGGUCGAGGACUGGAUUAAAUAAAUGAAUAACAGAAGCAUUUGCAUCGCUUGCCACGCCAGCUGCAGAUGCGAGAUUAGUUAGGGCGUAUGCUUCAGCAUUUUCAUCCCUUGGUAUUUGUGUAACUUUCCAGGUUUGAAAGUGCUUUAUCAAUUCCCGUACCUUUUCAAAAUAUUGCUGGAUCCUUGCCUCUCUAGCUAUGUAAGUCCCCAGAAUUUGAUUAACCACGAGCUGUGAAUCGAUUUUGAUCAUAAUCUGAUUUAUGCCAAGCUAUCGCUCCAGUUCUAAACCUGCAAUCGCAACCUCAUACUCUGCCUCAUUGUUAGUUAUAGCGUGACUUUUGAUAGCUUGUCGAAUGAUUUCACUCGUAGGUGGUACCUAAACAAUCCCUAAACAUACACCUUUUACGUUAGAUGACCCAUCGGUGAAUAAGGUCCAAGUUCCUGGGUUAACUCCGUUGAACACCUGCAACUCUUUUUCUGCUUCUAAUUGCAUUCCUUGGCUAAAAUCAACCACAAAAUCAGCUAAUACUUGAAAUUAGUAGUAGUUCUAGAUUGGUAGGUGAUAUCAUAUUCGCUUAACUCAAUAGCCCACUUAGCUAACCUUCCUGACAAUUCAUGCUUAUGUAAUAUAUUACGUAAUGGGUAAGCAGUUACUACAACAAUAGAAUGACAUUGAAAAUAAGGUCUUAACUUUCUAGAUGCCAUGGUUAAUACAAGUGCAAGUUUUUCCAAUUGUGGAUACCGUGUCUCUGCAUCUAACAAAGAUUUACUAACAUAGUAGAUAAGGGAUUGUUUACCUUGGUCCUCUCGGACUAAAACAACACUCACCGCUACUUCUGAAAAGGUAAAUAAGCAAUCUUUCCGCAGCCUUUGGUUUUGCAAACAACGGUGGAUUUGAUAAGUAUGUUUCAAAUUUCUAAGUGCCUGCUGAAAUUCCUCAUUCCAUUCAAAAUGAUCUUAUUUUUUAAGAGCUGAGAAGAAUUUGAAGCACUUUUCCGAUGAUUUAGAAAUAAAUCUUCCCAAGACUGCAAUUCUUCCUAUUAAUCUCGAAACCUCUUUUUUACUUGGAAGCAUAUAAGGGAUUUCUUCAAUAGCCUUAUUUGUUCGGGAUUCACUUCAAUACCACGGUUAGAGAUAAGAAAACCUAAAAACUUACAUGAUGCGACGCCGAAUGCAAAUUUCUUAGGAUUUAACUUCAUGUUAAAUUUGUGCAUAAUUUGAAAUGUAUCAGAUAAAUGAGAUAUAUGAACCCUUGAAUGCUGAGUUUUCAUGAGCAUAUCAUCUAUAUAAACCUCCAUGGUUUUUCCCAAAUGUUCUUGGAACAUUUAGUGACCAGCCUUUGAUAUGUUGCUCCAGCAUUUUUGAGACCAAAAGGCUUUACUUUAUAACAAUAAGCCCCAUAUCCGUUAUGAAUGAAUUUUUUUCCUCAUCUACUGGAUCCAUUUUGAUCUGAUUGUACCCUGAAUAUGCAUCUAAAAACUUAAUAGCUCAUGCCAUGCAGUAACAUCAAUUAGUUGAUCUAUGCGUGGUAAUAGAAAAAAAGAAUCUUUAGGACAGGCUUUGUUAAGGUCUGUGUAAUCUACCACUUACCAUUCUUUUUGGGCACCACAACAGUAUUAUCUAACCAAUUAGGAUACUUUACCUUACGGAUAGACCCAAUCUUUAGUAAUGUUUUGAACCUUAUCUUGAAUCACCAGAUUUUUGGAAGUUCCUUGCUUUCUCUUCUUUUGUUUGACAGGCGUAUACGAUGGGUCUUCAUUUAACUUGUGUGUCAUUACCUCCGGUGGUAUUCCUAGCAUAUCAGAGUGGGACCAAGAAAAACAUUCCACGUUAGCUUUUAAGAAUUCAAUUAACAUACCUUUCACAUCUGGGUUCAGAUUAGCCCCUGCGUAGACUUUCCUUUCAAGCUAUUGUGCAAAUAAUACUACGACUUUCAACUCUUCAAUUGUUUUUUUGAUGUUUUCAUUUUCCUCUAGCUCUUGUUUUAAGUAUUGCCUCUCCAUUAGUUACAACGCUACAAUUAUCGAAUCCCGACAGAGUUAAUUUAUCUUCAGCUUGCAUUUCACGUAGUACCCUUAAUAGGAAAAUAUUCAUAGAAAUUUUUGGAUCAAUCAAAACUCGUUUCACAUUAGUAUCAUGUACAAGUAGAGAUAUUACUAGUACGUCGUUGUGUGGAGAUAAUACGCCAUCUUCAUCGGUAUCAUCAAAGGUAAUAGUUUCUUCUUGUAAGACUUGUCGCACCCGCUUUCCGUGGGUAAUAGUGACUUUAGAAACUUCAUUGGAUGCCGUUUAUGUCACACCGUUGAUAUCUUAUCCUCUGCUUAUGACAUUGACGGUCAUUUUGGGUGAAGGUAGUUUUGAAGGCUCCUGCCUAUUCUUCAUAUAAGCUUGUUUACCUUUUUCACUGAAUAACUCGGUGAGGUAGCCUUGUUUUAACAGAUGAUCAACUUGACUUUGUAAAAACCUACAUUCUGCUGUUUUAUGCUCGUGAUCAUUAUGAAACUCGCACCAAUGGUCAGGGUUUCGCCUCUUUGGAUUCAAUCUCAUCUCUUUUGGCCAUCAUACCUUAUCACCCAUGUUUCUCAAAACAGACACGAGCUCAAAAGUGCUGACAUCGAAAUUGUAACCGCCAAACCUUGCCUUCAGAUUUAUAUCAUCAUCUCAUGACCCAUGGGUGUUUGGAUUAUUUCUAAAUCUUGAUGAAGAACCCGACUCUCUAUUCCUUGAUCUGUGAUCAUACCGUUGAUUGUCUUGUUUUGACCGUGAGUCUUUUCUCGCACGUCCAAUGUAUGGAUAGUACCUAUUUUUACUGAAUCUUUUUUCGGUUUCCGCCCUUUUUGAACUGCCCUUUUCCUCGUUUUGAAAUCGAGGAACGGUAUCUUCUUCUAUUCUCAGUUUCGUGCUAUACAUGUUGUAAAUGUCAUUCCAUGUUGUACCUGGGAAUUCACAAAGGCUUUCCUUGAGUCGUCUCGUAGAUUCUGAGCUUUUUUCAUUCAAAUUGCUUGUCAAAGCUAUAACAGCCCAAUUAUCAGGUACAUGGGUCAAGGUCAUUCUUUCACGUUGGAAUCUUUCUACAAAAUCUCUGAGCAAUUCUGAGUCCCCUUUUGAUCUUGAAAAUAUCUUCCAUCCCCUUUUUCGACUUUUUGAGCUCCCGAGUGUGAUUUGAUGAAAGAAUCUGCAAGCUCAGCAAAAGAAUUUUAUAGAUUUUUCGGGUAAGAGAGAGUACCAUGUUAAGGCACCCUUGGUGAGCGUUUCUCCAAAUUUUUUGACUAAUACUGAUUUAAUCCCUGCUUGGUCAAAUCAUUGCCCUUCACGCUUGUUGUGAACGCAGUCAAGUGGUCUCGUGGGUCUGUUGUUCCAUCGUAUUCUGGGAUAUCAUGCAUUUUAAACUUCUUUGGAAAUGGGAGGGGAGCAGCAGUUGGCAUCCAGGGUUUUUAUGAAUACUUAUCCAUAUCUACCUCUUUGAUUAUGGGCGGCACCCCAGGUAUUUGCUCUAUGCGGUCAUUUUGCUCCUUGAGCUAUUUCUAUAAUGUUAGUACUAAAUAUUACAAAUUAGAAUUAACUGAAUUACCUGGUUCUUUCUCCUAUGAUUCAUUGGGGGUUCCUCCACCAUUUCCUGAAUUAACAAGCCCGGAAAAGGAUUCUCCAAUGUGUUGUUAUUUGGAGUAUGUGUGGGUAGUGCAGCAGGUAACCGUUUAACCAAAGCCUGAACAACUUUAUUGACAUGUGAGGCAAUAAGUUUUUGCAAAGACUCAUCCACAGCUUCAAAAUUUUGAGAUUGAGCCUAUCCAUCUGCAUGAGAUCCCUCAGGAGUACCUUCACGUGAUUGUCGAGGAGAGCCUUGUGGAGAAGCAAUCAGUGUGUUAUAAUCCUGCGGAUCUCCCUGAAGUUGUUGGUUUGUUUCGUUUUCUUGAAUGUUUUCAUUGUCGUUCCACAUUGUGGAAGCAACAAGGAAAGUCAACUAAAAGAGAAUAGAUUAUCAGAUUCCCGGUAACGGAACCAAUUUGUUUAACCAAAAAAUAAAAUUUUAGUCAAAGUUAGAAUUUAGAAAAAUACGAGUUACUGAUAAUCAAAAGAAUAUAUAAAGGAAGUAAUUUUAGCUGAAAGUAGUAUAAUCAGAAGUAAAGCAAGUAAACCAAAGUAUAUUCAGAUAGUGUUUCUUGUCUUUACAAAUGUUCAGUCCUCUCCCUUUUAUAGUAAUUUUGGAGAUAUGUGCCUUUCCUUUAUCAUAAUAAGGCUAUUAUGGGUAAUUAAUGAUAUUGGAUGCUACGUUACAUAAUAAUUAUAUUUAAUAUAAAUUUUCUAACGGUUUUAGUAUUUAAUGCUCAUUAAAUACUGUAUUUGGACUCUCAUGUGCUGUCAGAUUCAUUCCUUUGAUUCUUCUUGAUUCUUGAUCUUAAAUGUCUUGAGUAGGUACGUGCGCUGAAUUCUUUGAAUAACCGCCCCGUGCCUCUUCCUUUGCCUUUGCUUGUAUCCAUUGCUACUUGUGCCUCGUGACUAGUUGUAACUAUUUGACCGUUUGACCAGUCCACAUAUCACGAUACGUCAUCUUCAUGUACUUUAAUAUAUAAACUCAAUCUUUCCCAAUAGAGUUGUCGAGAGUUCUUCCCUCUUUGUACCGGGUAGACUGAUAGAGUUUUGUUUAGGCUUGUUAGCUGUCUAUGCUAUGUCCACAUGGUUGGUUGCAUAGUUUUGUGUUAUUAUCCUUUCCCUUAUUCGUUGUUGUUAUUUUCUUUCUGGCAUUUUUUUGUUGUUAGAUGCCUUGUUUUUGUUUCUUUUCUGAUAUUAUUGACUCUUUUGUUGAAUCGAGUGCCUCCUGGAAACACUGGAAACAGUCUCUCUACCCUUUUCGGGGUAGGAGUAAGGUCUGCGUACACUCUACUCUCCCCAGACCCCACUAGUGGAAUUUUACUGAGUAUGUUUUUAUUGUAAGUUUCUAAUAUAGUAUAGCUAGAUAAAAAUCCCAAACUAAUUUGGUCUGAGUUUUGAUACCCUCUUUAUUGGAUAACCUGCUUUGAUACUAGGCCAAACUCUACAAACUAUUUGACUCUAGCCUUUAACAAGAAGCCCAAUUUAAGUUAUAGUAAGAUAUUUUUUCCACUUGUAAGACAUUCAUUCAAACAAUGAAGCUGCGGACAAUAAAUUAAAGAGAUUUUUUCCUUCCUAUACCAUAUAUAAAACCUUAUUAUUACCAAAAAUAUGAAUAGUUUUAUAUUUAUCCAUCACAUUUAUCCUUUUUCUAUAAUUGUUAUACCUUUCAUUAUAAUAUUAAUUAUUAGGAACUUAUUACUUCCUAGCAACCUUCUAUUUGAAAUCUCCGUUUUCAUGUGAAGGUGAAUUCCUAUGUAUUGUACUAUCGUAGUGCUAGAAGUUCGCUCAAACUAUUAAAAAGUUAAAAAUAAAACAUUCAACAUCUUUUUUACUAUAUAAAAUGACUUUAACAUAAGACUGCUUCGAGUUCUGUUGUAGUCAAGCACGUAUCACAUCAUAAGAUUUGUCUAACAGAUAGAAACUUCUCAAUUGGUUGAUAUACAAACCAAAAAUCUAGUUGAUCAAUCUAUCACAAAAAGCUAUCAUUGUUUUAUGUUUUCAAAUUAGAUAGAAUCUUUUAAGCAAAAAUUCGGUUCUUCCAUAUUUUUCUUUAAGCUACAAAUUAAAAAAGAUAAAAUUGUCAACUACUUCGAAUCAAAUUAUAGAAAUCAGUUCUGCAAAAGCUCAGUUCGUCGACAUUCUCUCUACAUCUCUCUAUUUCUCAAUCGCAAAUUUCAGUAAUACAAAGCUAAUAAAAAGAGAGCAGCAAUUCUACCAUUGAUAGCCAUUAAAAACUUAAAAGCUUUGAAUUCAAAUUUGAGUUUUCAAAAAUAAUUAUUUGCUUGGAUUGAGUGUUGUAAAUAAUCAGGAAUAUGGUUUCGAGUUUAUAUCUCAAUUUUGAGGGGUUUUGGUGAAGAUUAGUCUUAGUUUUGACUGAAUUUCAGAUUGAAACUCGAAGAAGAAGAAGAAGAAGACAUAUUGAAGAAAUUGUAGAUAAAAUGUAGAUUAUUUGUAUUCUGAUUGUAGAUGCUUUAUUUUCUGUUUUCACAAAUAAAAAAUGGCUAAAACUUCUACAAAUCUUCUGAAAAAACGCAAUUAUGUCAAAAAUACCAAUUAUGCUACAAUUGAAUGAGAAUUGUGAUAUGAAAAUUCAAUGUACCAAGUUUGUAAAUAUUUUGUAGGUAAUUAUAGAUUAUUUUGUAUUCUAAUUAUAGAUGCUUUGUCUUAUGUUUUCACAAAUAAAAAACGACUAAAAUUUCUACAAAUCUUCUGUAAAAAUAUAAUUAUGUCGAAAAUCUCAAAAUUACAAUUGAAUGAAAUUAGGGUAUUAAAAUUUAGUAUAUCCAAUUUGUAAAUAAGUGGUAAAUUAUUUAUCUUCGUCUUCUUAUUGCUCAUUUCCGUUUUGAAAGUUUCAUGUGUUGGUUUUCCAAUUGGAUAAAAAAAUAUAAUUGGUUAGGAUAGAUGGUAUUUAAGCCAAAUUCGCAAAAAGAAGAGAUUACGCAAUCUUAGGUAUUGACCUUUACGUUGUAUAAUUCAAAUGAUCAGAUAUUUUGGAAGGAUCAAGAAAAGACAAAUAAGAACUAAAGAAUUUUUGUGAAACAUAAUUUUAGUUACAUGAUUCUUUUUAAGUCUAAUAACAAUGUAUAAAUAUAGGUGAGCCUUAGAGUUUAAGAAAAAAACUGAUAUACGAUACUUUAAAUUAAGAAGGAAUAUAUGCUAUAUUAGUUAUAACUUUAAAAUAUAAUAUGGUAUGAUAAUUUAAUAUAGUAAGUAUAAUUAAGUCAUACAUAUACAUGUUGUAAAAAUUUUUAAAUUAAAAUCGUCCAGAAAUUCGGAAGUGAAGAGCUAGAAUAUUCCAAUUAGGAGGACCUGCCAAUUUCGUCUCUUCAGUGCAACACGCGGAGGGAAAGUUGAGAGAUGUCGUGUUUGGCAUCUUGCUGCGCGUCAUUGACAUGCGGACUCUGCACAUCGGUGGCGUCAGGUGUGACCAGGAGCUCAGCUAGACUUGCUUAUUGUGCCCUAUUUGGUGUUUCCUUGAUCGUCUCUUGGGUUCUCAGAGAAGUCGCUUCUCCUCUCCUCAAGAAUUUCUCAUGUAAAUUAUCCUCUUUUUUUCUGUCUCUUUUUAACCUCUUCAAACUGUUUUAUGUUAGCUUUUAUGGCUUGAUUCGAAUUGUUGAAUAGCUGGUCGGAGAUCUGAUUUUUCUCCGCCGUCAAAAAUUUAGUAGUUACUAUUGGGAAAGCUGGUAGUACCUAAGCACUCUGACUUAUACAUGGUAUAUGAUAGUGGAAGAAAAAUAGUAUAGUAAUGAUAAAAAGUUAGUUUAAUAGGAAAACAUCGCAUCAAAGGUUAAAGUUCAAAUGUUUAUUGAAAUUGGAUUUCUCAAAGGUGUGAAAAUUAUAAGAAAUUAAAAUAGCGUCAAACAUUUUGGAAUGUUCCAAAAUGGAAAGAGUACCGUAUAAAUUGGAAAGGAUGGAGUAUUAGGCUUCAGACUUCUGGCAACUAGGAUUGUGAUCUGUCCUUUCACCUUUAAGUUCCAUCUUCAGUUGUAAUUAGGACAGAAUCGUAAAUGAUAAAAUUCGCAUUUUGCUAUGACAACACUAUCCUGAUUUUGAAUGUAUUUAUAUAGUUGAGCAGGUUCUUUCGGAGAACAUUAGAUUGUAGUUCUCUGGGAGAUCUUUCUAGCUGUUAGGGGUCGUUUGGUAGGAGGAUAAGAAUAAUGCUGAAUAGGGUGUAUUAGCAAUGUUAGUAUUAGUAGUUUUGAGAUAAGUUAUGCUGAGAUUUGGUUUGGUGUAUUAAAGCAUUGUAUAAUAUCUUAAAAAAUUAGUUGUUUAUAAAAAUAUCCUUUCAUAUUCUUUAUUAACUUUGUACACUUUGAGGGAUUUAAGGGGCAAUUAUAUCUUUAACCAUGCUUAUGCAAGUAUUAAAACCCUUGCAUUACUAAUACUAUGGUUUGCUAUGUAUUAGUUAUAUGUAAGAUAAUCUAAAUAGGAUGUAUAACUAAUACAAGUAUUAGUAAUACAUAGGUUGAAAAAAUAGACCAAACAAGGAAUUAGUAAUGCACAAAGCUAAUGCUUGCUUUAUGUAUCAGACUGCCUUUUUGUUUGAUAUCGAUACAGAACAUCAAUAAACUUAAAUUUACCCAUAAGACUUGUUUAAAAAAGCAAAAAAAUAAAGCUCAAACUUAAAAUCUUUAUUUAAGGGCGUAAGGAUAAAUAUCCAUUUAAUUAUGAUCCCUUAAAGACAUUAUUACGUAAAUUAAAUUGUGCUCUCUCUAACAACCUAAGCAUGAGAUCGGUCACACGCUUCACUAGGAAGCCAUAGAUUCCACUCCUAUUUGCUGAUCAGUGUUCAUCUUUACAUGGUUGACUGAUGACUGCAUGCAAGCUAUUUGGGGUACAUGCUAUGGUAUUUGAGGGCGAAGUGGUUUUCAUAUUAAUAGGGGAGGAUAUAAAAUGGUUGCUUCGGUUACUAGUUGUUUUGUUGCUUUGCUUCUAGUUGAUUCCUUCUCUAGAUUUUUCUUUCCUUAAGUAGCUCUGCCGGAUGCAUCCUGCUUUCUGUGACGGGACAUAGAAGGAGGAAGUUAUACCUGAUAUGGUACUCAAAUGACAUAUACUCCUAAGUAUACUUGAGAUCUUUCAAAGCAUGCUACUUCAGUAAAUGAAGAUACAAACUUAAGGGACGAUAUUAUGCUUUUUCUCCUGUUUUGACUGUCCUCUUCAGUUUUUCACAUCACACUGCACCUGCUAGGUUUUAUGAUUAGUUACAAAGUCUCCUUCAGUAAAAAAUAAAAAGUUGUCUCUGGUCAUGGGUUCAAGCCAUGAAAUCAGUCACUAAUGCUUGCGUUACGGUAAGGCUGUCUACAUACCGGGGGAGGGUGCGGCCCUUCCCGGACCUUGUGUGAAUGAGGAUGCUUUGUGCACCGGGCUGUCCUUUUUUCUCCUUCAGUGAAGAAAUUCUAAUGUGAUAAUGUAAUUAAAAUUUGGUAGAUGAUGAUGGAUUUUACUUUGAAUGAAGUACUGAAACUCCAAAAAAAUCAACUGAUUUGAAAAGAAAUUGGCUAAUUAGAAAAGUACUCCUCCAUUGCCAGAGAGCCUCCAGGACAAGGAGGCAACGAUCAACCACCCACUUUUUGAUUUAUUUGUAUUUCUUUAUUGAGAGUAAUGAGAGUAAUAUUGUUGUUGUAUUGAGAGUAAUAUUGUCAAAUAACUUAUAAUGUUACAGGUUUUGAUUGGAAACGCUGGUUAGGAGAUAUCGUUUGGAAACUAUAGAAACGCACAUCAAAUUAAAUAGACAACAGAGGAAUUGACUGCAAAUUAGACAUCCUUCUCUAUAUAUCUAACUGAAAAGAAAUGUGUCAAAAUUAGUAGUUCUUUGCCGGGAAAUAAGGAACAAAGAAUUGAUGGAAGUUUAACUCAAAAUUAUUUUCAGAUUUCUUUCUGUAUCUAAAUCUGUGUUGUUUCUAAAUAAGCCAAUAGUCCAAGUGAGAUAUCUGUUGACAUCCCCCAUAUUAUUCUUGCUACUUGCUGUUUUACAAUGAUGAAAGUAAUACUUGCAUUUCUUGCUAAUUUGUUCAUAUGUUUGUUGGUUGUAGGGAUAAACACUUCAGACAAUUACUCGAAGGAAUGGUUUCAAGCACAAGCUGUUCUUCGUGUCAGUUUGGGGAAUUUCUUGUUUUUUGGACUGCUUGCACUUAUAAUGAUUGGCGUCAAAGAUCAAAAUGAUAAGCGUGACUCCUGGCAUCACGGUGGAUGGGUUGCUAAAUUGGUGAUCUGGGUGUUGCUUGUUGCCCUUAUGUUUUUCCUGCCUAACGGUGUCAUAACAGUUUAUAGUCAGUUCUCUGCCCUUAAACUGAAAUAAUUUAGUAGUCAACAUUUAAAUCAUUUUUUUUUAGUAUGUCAUCUACACAAAAUCAUAAACUGUCAUUUUAUAUUCUCCUUUCAGAAGUUAGAAGACUAGGGAUUUCAAUUCUGUCAGGUCUACCAUACCUUAGAAAAGAUUUUUCUUCAAAAUUAUCAGAUAAUGUCUCUAGGAAACAUAAUUUUGCGUAGUAAGUACAUGAUGAACAGAAUAUCAACUAGGUAAAGGAACUGGCAUGUUCUGGCAGUUCAAGUUUUUUCCUGACAACAGUUCACCCAGUGUUGUCAAAGGCACACUUAAGCCCUGAAGCGAGGCUCAAAACAUGUGGAGGCACUUCGUCUCGCUCUGCAGGUGCUUCAGUGCCGUCAUCAAGACUCUAAGGCAUACUUUUCCUUACCAAAGCAACACUAAACACUUGAUAUUUCACUUCAUUGUAAUUCUUUUUCAAUUUGUUUGUCCAUAUAUUUGUUAUUCACACUUAUUAGUCUUGGACCACACAUACAUAUUUAUAUUUUUUCUUCAUCUGUAUCUUUGGUCAUUAAAGGCCAUACUUUGUUUGCGCUUUGCUUUAAAGACCCAGUGGGCCUUAGAGUUUUUUUUGCUUUUCACCUUUUUUUUCGACCACACUUGUUCCAGUUUACUUCUUCCAAUAAGUACACUCUCCUCUAGCUUGUGGGUCCAAAAUCCUGUUCUAUUUUUUUAUAUUGUGUCGCUUCUGUAGUUCUGAUAGUUAACUGUCAAAAUUUGUAUUUUAUUUCCAUUUUACCUGAUUGGUUUUAUUUUCUACCUUUGCAGGUUUUAUUUCGAAAUUUGGGGCAGGGUUAUUUUUGUUAAUCCAAGUAAUAAUACUGUUAGAUGCUACACACUCAUGGAAUGAUUCAUGGGUUGCAAAAGAUGAACAAAAGUGGUUGGUUCAAUUUCUUAUCUUUUUUAAUAAUUUUAUCCAUGGACCUUUUUUUAUCUUUAAAAGUUUGACAUAUUUUGUGCAGGUAUAUUGCUUUGCUUGUGAUAUCUGUGGGAUGCUAUAUUGCAACAUUUGCUUUUUCUGGAAUCUUAUUUAUGUGGUUCAAUCCUUCUGGACAUGACUGUGGACUGAACGUGUUCUUCAUUGUAACGACCAUGAUCCUUGCAUUUGCAUUUGCUGUUAUUGCUUUGCACCCAAAGGUAAAUGCUCUCUCUGCUGAUGCUGUUUUUUUCACCUUAACACUUCUUCCUUGGAGGAUAACUUUUUAAAAAUAUUGAAAUGCUUCAUAUGCAUUAUGCAUUACGAAGUCGAUAUCUCUUGCGGAUGACUUGCAUAUACUUGUAUGCAUAUGUAUAAGUCAAACAGCUCCUUAAGGGUUACCCGUCUAUUCCAUGCAUUCAGAAGAAUCACUUUUGGUACUUAAUUUUUUUUUUCUUGUGUUUUUACUUAAUACUAAUCAUCUUUCUCCUUUAACUAUGUCUAGGUAAAUGGCAGCCUAUUGCCGGCUUCUGUGAUAUCUGUUUACUGUGCUUAUGUUUGCUACACCGGUCUUUCUAGUGAACCUCGAGAUUACGUCUGCAAUGGGCUUAACAAGUCAAAAGCUGUAAUAACAAGUACCUUGUCCUCGGGAUGCUUACAACUGUUCUCUCAGUUCUAUAUUCUGCUCUUCGUGCUGGAUCUUCAACUACUUUUCUCUCUCCACCAUCUUCUCCCAGAGCAGGUACUAAAACCUCUUUAUGCUCUUAGUAUUUCUUCCUCUGCUCAGCGAAUGACUUACGAUUAGUAAAUCCAUUUUCUCAAUUCAUGAAGAUUCCUGUGAUUUCCUCAUCAAAAAAUAAAAUAAAAUAAAGAUUCCUGUGAUUUGUCUGGUUAUUGUCAAUCUUGACUAUAAUGGGUGGUGAUGACUUUUAGGAGAAGUUGUUUAUGGUCAUUAUCACAGUAUAUGCUCGCUCCUCUUUUUUAAUAACCCAGGUGAAAUAUUGUUUGUGUUUUCUUAACAAUGGAUCUUCUAGCAUGUACUACCUGUCGUAGCUGUGUGUUUAUGCCUAGGUGAAUUAAGAUGGUGAAUUUGUUACUCAUAUGCGGAAAUAUACUCAUACAGAUUAGUGAAACAUACCCAUUGUUUAUUUCAACAAAACUCUAAUGUUAAGCGACAAUAUAUUAGUACACCACACCUCUCACUUUUGUGAUCCAUCCAUUCAUGAGCAAUAGUCAUCAAAAGUCUUGCACAUGAUGCUGCUGAUAUCUUGCUGUAGAAUUUCUCUAUCUGCAUAUUUUACGCUACUUCACGAAAAAUUUCCUGACAAGUACCAAUAUUCUGUUAUAGGUGAGAAGAAAUCCCUUCUUGCUUCCGAGGAGCUGGAAUCUGGGAAAGGAUCAGCAGAAGCACGGCCAGUGAGCUAUUCCUACUCAUUCUUCCAUCUGAUAUUUGCUCUGGCUAGCAUGUAUUCUGCAAUGCUUCUUUCUGGGUGGACUAGCAGUUCUGAGAGUUCAGACCUAAUCGAUGUUGGUUGAACAUCUCUUUGGGUUCGCAUAUGUACAGAAUGGGUUACUGCUGGACUAUAUAUUUGGUCCCUCGUGGCUCCAUUGCUCUUCCCUGACCGCGAAUUCUAUUGAUCCUUGUAUAAUGAUCAAAUAUGUAGUUGUCUGUCCUUGUUAAUGUGUGUCUUCAACUUGUAUCAAGCUUGUUAUGUAAAUAUAAAUGUCCUUAGUGCUUCUACUGAAAGACCAAGAUGUAGUCGUCUUUAUCUACCGAUAAAUUAUAUUAUUAUUCUAUAUAUUAGAAGAGCUAGGGCUUCGACCUAGCUGCUUAUAUGUCAUUAAUUUUGUAGUUGAGGGCAAUUUAGUGACAUUAUCUAACAUAACGAGUCUUUUAAUAUGAAGCUAAUAGAGCGUGUCAGAGAUUUUAGUUUUAUGCAUCUACUUUCUUCGGUUCCAUCGCCUUUGCGCCAACAUAACCACUGCCGUUGAGUUAUACCAACUGUACUGUUCCUUGCCCCUUCCCUUUUUGGGGGUUUUUGUUUUGCCUUAGUUUAUAUUAUUAGCUUCCGUAUAAGAACAACAACUACCUCGUAUACUCCUACAAAGCGGGGUGUGGGGAGGGUAAUAUGUAGACGGGCCGUACCCUACCCGAAAGGGCACAGAGGCUGUUUCCAAUCGACCCUCGGCUUAGUGAAGGAAAGCAAAAACAAAAACAAACACAAAAAAACAUUAGUAACUCCAGCAGAAAUAGCGUAAAUAAUUAUCUAAACAUAAGAACCAUAAAUAAAAUAGCAUGCAAUAAUAUCAGACAGUAACUACCACAGAAAUAGCGUAAAUAAUUAUCUAAACAUAAGAACCAUAAAUAAAAUAGCAUGCAAUAAUAUCAGACAAUAACUACCAUAAAUAAUUACCAUAAAGGAGACGCAAGGGGAACACAAUCUAAUUCACAAAUUAUCUAUGGAAAGCCUGCCAAGCCUCACCCAACCCCGGGUGAGGAGUACGAAAAACUCUAGGAGAUCCUAUCUUACGACCCUGAUACUAGACCUCCAGACUUUUCUAUCAAGGGUCAUAUCCUCGCAAAUCGGCAUUCUAGCCAUGUCCUGCCAAUCACCUCUACAUUUGAAUUCUGCUUCAGCUAUCCAAGAUGCGCAUAACGGGAGAUAGCCGAAAGCUUCAGUAUCGACGAUCUCACCUAUCCUUAAACCCUCAACCUUAUUUGAUAGUACUUCAUGUGCUUGCCUCCUAUGUUUUACAGCAGAGAGUUUGGAUAGGGAUGUUUUUGUAUCUUGCAUGUUUCGUAGAAUGCGCUUGAAUUUCUCCAGUAAAUUUAGAAUAAUUUUUUGUGAACCCUAAGGAUAGACAGACCUUAUUAGCACUCUCAAAGUGAGCUAUCCUAACCCACUGUUGAGAUAUUGAGGAGGAUUCAGAUAAGGUACCAUAUCUUGAAAUACUCAAG